RNAcentral lists this long non-coding RNA (65523 nucleotides) under Fragaria vesca (wild strawberry). RNAcentral's name for it is "long non-coding RNA (FVES_LNC001606)". Lineage: Eukaryota; Viridiplantae; Streptophyta; Magnoliopsida; Rosales; Rosaceae. The record is from RNAcentral.
GUCCUCUGAGUUAGUUUAUGUUCAUGUCAGGGAGCUUUUUGCUAACUAGUCAUGGAGUUUACGACCUUAGAAUGACCGAAAGGACUUGGUUUUGAUCAUACACACGUCACUUGUGGCUAAGGCAAAAGCCUACACGCCACUUGCAAGCUUCACAGCUUCGCACAUGCCAAUUCUGCGAAAAACAGCAAUCUGUCCCUUCUGGACAGUCAACUUCGUUUGAGCUUUGUGAACAGCUCCAGACGAACCAGACAGUGAGCUUUAUAUCAUUAGAAAGCUCUACGAGUCUAGUUUUCAGAAAAUUUUUCGGUUCAUCCAUAUCUAUUUUAACGAAGAAGUUAUGGCUGUUUUAGUGCGCAAAGGUCAUUCUGGGCGGAAAUUUUUAUGCACUCUCGAGAUUGCAGCUUUUUGUAGCUUCGUUCAAUCCUUCUAAAUGGUUCAAGUGGAACUAUUUACUCUCUUAUCUACUCCAUUUUGUAGAUCUGUCUCAUCGAGACAUUGAGUGCUUCGCAGAUAGUGGAACUAUCCACAACAUUCUAAGGAACUGACAACUAUCUUUGGAUUUUGUGCCUUUGUAAAUCUUCUGUGACUAUAAUGAUUGAAUCAUACCGAUCAUUCAAAGACGCGGUUUAGCUUGAAUCUUGAUGCCUCAUGGCACCAUGAUUAAUGUCACAGAUACCCUCUAUACAUUGAGAGGCAAUCAAACCAUAUUGAGCUUUAAAGACAUUCCUGCUAAUAGUUUUCAUUUGAAAACACAUUGUGAGAAUGAACAAGAAUUCUUUUGUGUAUACCUUCUCAUGAAUGCGGACUGAAGCGCAUCUUGGAGAAAUUCAUGAGUCAAUCUAGUGGACUGUAUGUCACUAUGAUUCGAAUAUCGAAUCCCAUGUUGUCGCCAAACAUGAUAUUUGGGACAUUGACUCAUAUAGGCUUUGGUUUGACCAAAUUGGUCAACCUGGAAGAGAUAAUGGUCCAAAUUUUGAGAAAUUCUCAUGGACAUCCAUUCUUCCGCUCAAAACGAAGACAUUCGAGAUCUAGCAUCACCAUGAAGCAUGGUGGUGACCCGGGGGACAUUGACGUCACCCGAACACGACUCCAACUUCCUGGAGGUCGUACGGUCAAUUCCUCAAGCAAUUGAGGUGCACCGGCCUUUCCUCGAUGUCGCAUUGGCCCUCUGCAAUGCUCAUUACUCGUUUUGAAAGCCUAUUGUUUAGCUAAAUUAGGAGUGAGACCCUCCUACGCUAAAUAACACAAAAGUGAACAUUCUAUUCUUACAUAAAAUUAUGUAGAUAGAUACAACCAACUUGCGGACACCUUUUAUGACACGACCCACCCCGAAUUUCACCCUGAAACCCGGAGUAAGUCGUGCGGGGACCACCUCCAAAGAAAAUUUACCGAAAAGAUUGGUAAAACCUCCCUUGAAGAUGGACAACCCUAACCCGAAAAAUCUCCAAUUCACACACUUACUACAGCACUUCCAAAAAUAUCACACAAUUAUCCAGCUAAAUAAAGGCAAAUAUUAUUCUUCAGCAAUUCUAAACAUAAAGUCAACCGACCGAGCACACCACCGGAAUAAUAUACAAUAAUCCCAAAGUAUUCAGAGCUACUAGACACUAGCGGAAGCAAGAAAACACUAGUAGGUUAAAUAGGUAACCUACUGAUGAAAACUGGCGGAAAAGCGGGUAACUAUGCCUCGUCUCCUACUAGGUCCAACCUGAACUUUGCAGACUGGGCAAUUUAAAACGAAGAGCCCAGGGGAAAACAUGUGGAAACAGUUAGAGUGAGUGGACAAAACAAAAUAAAUUAAAUAAAAAUAUUUCUUUAUGCUUCCCCAAUUUAAUUUCCAAAUAAAAUAAUACUGCAUGCAAUCGCUCAAAAGCGCUUAACUCAAAAACUGGCAACUUCACGACCAGCACCGGCUAGUCUCCAAAACUUAAUAAAAUACAGCCUCUCAGGCUAAAUUAUAUAUAAACAUAUAUAAGUAUAUGUAUUUACACUCGUCAGACUCCUUGUAUGAAUUCUAAGAACAAAUUAGAAAAAUAGAAAUUCAUACAAGGCUACUACGUUUGCGUCUAACGCUCACGUCACACCAUAAUGGAAUUGUACCUCAGUAUGACGGAAAAGGCACGAGUGUAUAUACGUGUGGACUCCCUAUAUGAAAACCUAAAUAAACCAAAUAAAAAAAUAGUUUUCAUAUAGGGCUACUACGCUUGUGUCUAACACUCACGUCACACCAUAAUGGUAUUUUACCUCAUUAUGGCGGAUCAGCACGUAUGGCUAGCUAGCAUUUACAUAUACAUACUAUCAUCAUAAACAUCCAAUAACAUAUCCACCGAAAUCUCAUUUUCGGGAUCNNNNNNNNNNNNNNNNNNNNUAUAUACGUGUGGACUCCCUAUAUGAAAACCUAAAUAAACCAAAUAAAAAAAAAUAAGUUUUCUAUAUAGGGCUACUACGCUUGUGUCUAACACUCACGUCACACCAUAAUGGUAUUUUACCUCAUUAUGGCGGAUCAGCACGUAUGGCUAGCUAGCAUUUACAUAUACAUACUAUCAUCAUAAACAUCCAAUAAACAUAUCCACCGAAAAUCUCAUUUUCGGGAUCUCUCCAAAGGAGGAAAUUGCCAAAUAUCCGAGAAAUAAAUAAAUCUCAGGAAAAGAAUUAAAUGAUCAACAGAUAAUUCAUCGCAUACUUUUCAAUUAAAAUAAAGGUCCACUCACAAAUUAGGCCUAAGCCUGAUGACGCUCCGAGGCUUCCUCUGCUCGGGCCUCCUCUCGUCCUGUUCCAAAUAUAUAAUUAAUUCCCACCAAAAAACCAAUAUUUAAACAAAAUGGGCAAAAUUAAACGUGAGCCUCCCACACACUCAUCGUUGCCCAAAUUCGCCAUUCUUAACUCAAUACAGCUCAAACUUCGCCGAACAUACCGGCAGCCGUAAAAACAACUUUCCACAGAAUACGACUUAAAUCCUACGGCCGGAUUCUACAUUAAUUAACCGCCAAAAUACCAAACUUCGAAAAUUCACAAAUCUAUCUAAAACUCAUCCAAAAAUUCCAUAACUCACUUCAAUAAACUCCCCUUAAUAUUCCACAUUUAAAAACAUAAAAAAUCUCCCAACCGGCGGCGGCCGGAGGCCAAUUUUGGCGACCUCUAAAACCUAUGAAAUUUUGACAGAAUAAUCUUCUCAUCAUGCUCUACAACUUUCCUGACCAGCACAAACCCAAAAUCCAAGCCUAACUAGGGCAAUCGAACACAAACACCUAAAAGCCCUAUAAAUUUCAACUCCACAUUUCUCCUUACCUAGCUCAAGAGAGGGAGAGUCCUUUUAGGGCAAGGCUGCUGGGUUGGAGGGCUACAAAACCGUACCAAGCUUGCCCGGAUUGGUGGCCGGAGGAGGGAGUUCCGGCGAAAAGCUUCCCGACGUUUCCGGCGGGUUUUCUCCUCUUCCGGCGGGUUAGAGGCUCGGGGGCUAGGCCGGGGAGGGAGAGGAGGAGAUGGGGGUCCGAACUGGGGUGGAGCGGCGGCCGAUGGCUGGCCGGACGGCGGCAGCUGGUGGCUGGGAGCUUCCGGUGGAGAGAGAGCACGGGAGGGAGAAGGAAGAGAAAAGAGAGAAGAAGAGAAAGGGAGGAAAUGGGUUGGGCCUCCCAACCGGUCCAACCUUAUAUCAACCCAACUCAAAAAAUAAAACACCCCGAAAAAUAAUACCCGAAUAAAAUUACCUUUUACUAGCUAAAAUUUACCAUUUUUACCGUCGUCAUAUUUUCCUCUUAUGAAUAAUCCUCCGCACAUAAUCAUCCCCGAAACCCCUCUAGGGACCAAUUAAACUAUUAACUCAAUGACGGAGACGGUAAAAUUCUGAUUAUAAACCAGCUAGUAAAUAAGGUAAAAAAUAUAAGAGUCGGGAUGUGACAAUUCUUUUCGGUAAAUUUUCCUUGGAGGUGGUCCCCGCACGACUUACUCCGGGUUUCAGGGUGAAAUUCGGGGUGGGUCGUGUCAUUUUAUGCUUUAUGGUGUUGGUUGAAGUGUUAGCACACUGGUCACGUGUUAGCACACUGGUCACGUGUUACACUAUUAUCUGCUGCUUAUGCUGCAUAUACUUCUACGGGCUAACUACCCAUUAUUUAAAGAAGUUUAUUGGGAUAUAAGUUGAAGUGUCAUGUACCCCAUGUUCACACGCAAUACGGUCUCACCGAGGCUACGACCAAGCAACUUUAGCUUGUCGCUCGAAUAUUAUUGAUGCGCACCAACCUUUCUAUUGCGUCUUAGGGCUAUGCAAUAUUUGCAUGCAGCUUUACUAUUCGUCUACAAUCCACCAUCAUUGAAUAUUUUUGUACUACAGCUCGUGACUGUGUACCAGGAUUGCAAUCCUUGAGCUCAAACAAGAUUGAAACGGAUCUCCAAUCCUUGAGCUCAACUAGAUGUUUAUUCUAAGUGCCAAAUCGCACUGCCACUGCGCACAAUGAUGGGUCAUUUAAGAUGAAUAAGUAUUUAGGUUGGAUGUAAACCUCCACCUAUAAAUCCGCAUAUGUAGAAACCUUGUCAGGCAAUCUCAUUCACCGCUAAAUUGCGGAUUGUCACUUUGAUGAGACAAUAUUCCCGCCGUUAGGAGGAGAUAAGAACACAAGUGUUCAAGUGGAAAGACGUGAAUUGUCGUGGUUUGUCCCCACUAAGUCUCAUCUUGAUCCCAAAUGCUUAAAGUGUUAAAGUGACGAGAUCACAUGCUGCAAAUAUGUCUGCAAGGAUUGAUGUCCCAUCAAGAGGACAUGACGCGACCAAAAGGUGUUGGUCUUGACGCCAUCACCAUGGAUGGUGAUAUAGUGACGCCAUAUAAUGGCAAAAUUAGUGUCACAAGGCCGUGUGGCUCCCCAAAAGGAGGGAGGCCCUUAGGUUCGAUAUUUUCUCGCACUAGGAAGAAAGCGAGCUUGGCACAACCUGAUCCAUUGAUCAGUGAUACUCAUAUCUGUCUCAUGAAGUCUGAAUUGUGAUUAUCGUUGGGGGACGCCUCAAUGUCAAAUCCAAUCCAUAUAGAGAUCUCUACAAAGUAUUACACUAGUGUACAUGAGGACGUGGGAUAAUGAGUCUACUAUCGAACCACCUUUCGUUGAUGGAUAUCAACUUAGUUGAUUGGCCUAAUGGAAAGAUGUGAUCCAGCAUUAACAAAGAGAUAGGUCCUUGGGCAGGUGAUGCCGACACCGCAAGCUAAACCCUAUCAACUAUGCCUUUGUUAGAUAGCGUAGUGAGAAAAAGAGCUUAGACUCAUCUUAUGGCGUAAGGUCUCUCACUAACACGCACUGGGAUCGACUACGAUGAGAUAUGCUCUCGUAAUGGAUGUCAUUGAACUCCACUACUUUGUCAGUUUGGUAGUUUCCGAAUAACUGAACAAGCAGCCUAUGAAUGUGGUCAUAAUAACAUCUCUACGGGAUCAGAGAUAUGCAUGAAGGUCUUGAAUAGACUUCAUUCAUCCAAAUCAAGUGGCUUCAGACCACAGGUUCAUGCGUUUACUAAAUGUAUUGAAACGCACAUGGACUCUACUUGAUUUGGAAGGGAUAUGGUGAAUUAUGCCUUUGCGUGUUCAUUCCGGAUUUACAUGGACUCUUGAUGGAUCAAGAGAUGCCAAUAUGUAUCAACAUCUGAAGAAAAAGAUCUUGAGAAGACACAGUCUCGAUAAGACACUCGAUGACUGUAUUGAUGAUGAUUUUCCAUCAAUCGGCUUAGGCACUUUAUAACUAAUGAGGCCUACAUAUACUUCCAUGAUUAGUCAAGGUCUUACUCUAAAGAGAGAUCCGUUGUUUUGUCUAAAGCAAUAUGACAAAUAUAUGUUAAGAGAUGGAGUUCACAUCUAAGUACAAUUAGACGCAUCAAUGUACUCAACACAAUACGAAAGACUUGACAUCUCAUUCGCUAUGAAAAGUUGUAAAGCUAAGUGUAGCUAUGCGCCCACGCAAUGCCAAUGUAAUGGCAGUAACUCCUUUUUCAAUACUUAAUGGUAUGAAAGGUUGAGGCUUAUUCUAUCCCUACAUAAGAAAGACACAUCAAUAGCGAAAUCAGAAUCUGCCAAGUUUCGUAGGUCAAGCUCCACGGGACUUACAGGAAACCUCACUCACUGGAAUAUGGUAAAAUUGGUACCAUUGGAAAGGUCUAUGUGUCUACUUUCUAGGAACACCAACCAUUUGAUCAUACCUAUCAUAUUGAGUGAGUUAUGGCCGUUUUCGUAAAGUAGGACGAAUCUGUCCGAGAAUCUGAUUUUGGCAAAACAGUCAACUUCGACCGGACAUUUUGAAUAGCUCCUGACGAACCAGAAUGUGUGUAAUAUAUGGUUGGAAAGCAAAAUGUGUCUAGUUUCCAAAACCAUUUACGGUUCGUUCAUAUGUAUUUCCUAGAGGAAGUUAUGACUGUUCUAGUAACUGAAGGUCAUGCUGCGCGGAAAUCUGAUUUCCUGCACGAACUUAUGUCUUGAGUUCACAAGCGGCCUUCUCCUCAAGAUCUAAGUGUAAAAGAUCAUUUGAGGACAAUACGGCAUGAUUUAGUUAAUCAUUGCCUAAUGCCACAUUUGAAAACAUGUUAAAGAGNNNNNNNNNNNNNNNNNNNNNNNNNNNNNNNNNNNNNNNNNNNCGUUGUACUCUUUUCUUCCUACGAUCAAGGUUCAGUUUUCUCCCACAGGGUUUUGUGACUUGACGAGGUUUUGACGAGGCAACAGAUCAGCACUAUCGGCAUAUCAGCGCGCAGCACAAGGGGGAGUGUUCUAGGAUAUUCUGUAUCUUUCUAGAUAUUCUUUAUGUGUGCCUUGGCCUUAUGCCAAUAGGAUAUGUAAUUAGACUAGAUCUAUGUAUUCAUAUCCUUACCAUAUUGGUAUUGUGUAAUUCCCUAUAUAAAGAGCUCCUAUCAAUGAAUAAGAUGAUGAUUCUCUUGUUAUCUCUCAUUCUCUACACUUUAUACUUCAUCACAAGGAUAUAUUUUCUGUUAAAUAGUUUGCGUUGAUCAGAUUUUUAUCAAAAGUCUGGUACUGUUUGGUUCAGUGGCAUAAGUCUCUCUUUGUAAAUGAGAGGUCGUAAGUUCGACUCACAAUAGACUCGUUAUAGCAUAGUAGUUGUUUAUUUGAUGUAAAAAAUAAUAAUUCAUCAAAGGGAUAUAUAUCUAGUUGUGUUCUUUUCUUUGAUAAAUGAGGUCAUUUUUUUAUAUAGUUUAGCAAACAAUACAAUUACGAUACAUCUAUAAAGGGUCGUUAAAAAAAGUGGUUACAUGGAGCACAAGUAAAUGAUAAUAUGCUCUCAUGUGUUGACAUUAUUUCAAAUGAACUUAUUUCACAUACCAUGUGUUUAAAAAACAUUGUUGGUGUCUUGACAAAAUUUCCCAAUAUCCUAUUUCAUAGCAGUAUUCUCCUGACCAGCGUCGGCGAGUGUUGUGACAGGAACCUCCGCUUCGUUGUCUGACAUCGAUCCAGGCUCGACCAGGCUUUGAUGCUACCUAACGCAACGGGAAAUACGGGGGGCUAACAAGCGUUAAACCCUAGAAACAAUGGAGAGCUUACAAGCGUAAACUCAUAAAUAGAACUCUGGAAUUUACCAGAAAAUUAUAGAAAAUCUCUUAAGUUUGAUUGAUAACAAUAUGAUUGAUGAAUUGAAUCUAUCCACUUCUGAAAGCCAAUCAAGAAACUCUUCAACUUGUAAAUUUCCAUAGAAGAAAGAUAUGUCUGCUUGUUAUUAGCAUUUAAGGACAUGCCAAGUAAGGAUUUUUUUUCUUUAGGUUUUCUCCGAACUUUUCUUGUCUUUGCAACAUAACAACUUUUUGCCUCAACAUUUCACUUCUCGACCAUGUCUGAAGAGGUUUCAUCUCGUUUUGUCGCUGCCUUAGAUAUCAAGGACAAUGGGAAAGUGGCGUUUGGCGCCACAAGUGCUCAUGUUAUCUCACCACAUUCAUACAUGGUGGUAACGUCACUGACUGUGUAAAAACAAAAGCAUGAAGCCCAUGGCUAUGAUUGAGACGUUUGCCGCAGUUUGCAUAACAGCCUUCAUAUGAGGGUUCAUGGGAUUAGUACAUUCUUUAUUUCACCGAGGCCAAGGUUCGUCGACAUGUCUCGAAGUGAGGGUCAUGGUUCUUUGGUUGUUCUAUGUUUGUUGUGGCUGAGUGUGAUGGUCUAAGUGAUGCUUCAUGUGUCUCGAUCGUCACUUUUCCAGUGUGGGUGGAGGUUUUUGGACUGCCGCUGGCUUGCAGACCUUGUGGAAUUGGUAGGUGUUACGCCUGGAAAAGUAGAGCAGCUUUAUAAGGUUGAAAUCGGUCGAGGAACGAGAGCUAGGGUUCAUCUCACUCAUCAUAUUUCUGAUCAGGUAAAGCAUGCCCACCCUCCUUUGGCCUUCAAGUUUGGUACUAUGCUUCUCACUUUCAAAUACAAGAAGACGUUCAAGUUUUCCAAGACUUGUGGUUUUUGGAGCAUAUUGUUCUGUGGUGUAAGGGACCUCCGGGUCAGGUGAUUAGAGAGGAGGUUGAUACGGUGACGUUUGUGGUUAGUUUGGGUGUAGGAGCUACAAACCCUAAACCGAACAGUAUAAAACCCUAGUUUCUGGGGACUUAAUUCCGGAUAGGGGUGUUCCUAGAUUGCAAGGUGUUGGUAGUCCUUUUUAGAUGGAGGGGCUAAUCCAUUUCAAAAUGGGUCGACUUUCACUUUUCCCCUUCUAGGUGUCCCGGCGUCAGACUCGACUUCACAGUUGGCUAAGUUUCGAUCUCUAAGGAUGCAGCUGCCCCUAGAGAAGUGGCUAUGGUAGAGGCAAUUUCCAUGUCCAAACUUAAGGGUUUUUUUUUUUUUUUUUUUUUUUUUUAUUUUUUUUUUUUUUGAAUACAAGGGCUAGAUUGAUAGCUCUUACGCCAUAACCAUUAACAAAACCUCAGAAUACAAAAGGAGAGGGGGACAUUGUGCCUAAAUCCUAUACUGUAAGAACACCCUAAAAUAAUAUUAUGCAUAUCUACAAAAUCUAUGCAUUCUAACAAAACCUCAGAAUACAAAAGGGGAGGGGGACAUUGUGCCUAAACCCCAUAUUGUAAGAACACCCUAAAAUAAUAUUAGGCAUGUCUACAAAAUCUAUGCAUUCUAACAAGCAUCAUUUAACAAAGAGUGCAUCAUUAGCUACUCCAUUUGCUUUAUAAUUUUAACAACAUACCGGAAAACUAUUACUCAUACAGAGCUAUAAGUUACUAUAUAUGUCUAUCAGUUUUCCGGCUAUGAUGCCACUGGAAAUUACCAGUGACCCUAAGUUUCAUCUUGCCACUUAAAGACUACGACCAUUUGAAAAAGGAAGAAACUCGCCACCUCAUUAGAGCAAACAUGGUUCGAUGCGUGCACUUACUAGGACAUAGCCCACCAGUAUCCAGUAUCACUGAAAAACAAUAAGACAAAAACCAAAAAAUAAACCUAGUAGGGCAUAGCACGUCCUCUGUCACCCAUAAGAAAAUGGUGACUUAUUUCAACAAUUAACCAAAGUAAAACUAAGAAGGUAAAAAACUUAAUUAAAAUAAUAGUAAAUACCCAAGUUCGGCAUGUAAGCCAAAUCCAGGCCCAGGCCCAAAUACCUCAUAGCCCAAGCCAAGAGCAAACAUUGUUAGCGUGCUCUUGCCGCCGUCUCGCAGAUGUAGGCCACGACGUUCAGUUACGAGGACAUACUCGUCAUUCCGGCCAAGCACCGCUUGUCUCUUCUUUCAUCCGUCGUCUCCAUCCCGCCAGCGAGCAUCAACAUGGUAUUUGUUAUGGUCUUUGAUUGUUUUAGUAACGUGUUCGUGGUGGUGUUUUGGUACAGGAGGUGCUACCUCUAGAGCUUAAUUUCAUGGAAAAUGGUCCUUCCACAUGAAGAUGACAUGUUGAAAGUGUCACAUGCAAAGAAAUACAAGGCGGCAAGGCCUUUAGGGUUCAAGAACAAGCAAAAGAUGGAGGAUAUUCAUCCAUGGAAGCUUGAUGUCACUGCCUUGGUUCCUAAUAAAAAGCAAAGAGGAGCUUAGGGGUGCGUAUGACGCAAUUGCCUAUUUUCAACACCCUAGGAUACAAUUUAGGGUUUGUGGAGGUUGGUUGUGUUUUUGUGGAUUAUUUUAGAAAACUUUUUACUACCGAUGGUUCUGAUAUGAAUAAAGGUAUUUUAAGUGAAGUGGAGGGGAGAGUAUCGCUGGAACAAGCAGAAAAACUGUCUAGACCCUACACUAGAGGGGAGCUUGAAGUGACAUUGAAGGAGAUGGGUCCAACAAAAGCUCCAGGGUCGGAUGGAAUGCCUCCGAUUUUUUAUCAAAAUUACUGGCUUACUGUUGGUGAUGAGGUUGUUGGGCGUUGCUUGAAUUUUCUGAAUGGUCAAGGGACGGUACGAGAUUUAAACCAUACUUUGAUUGCCUUGAUUCCAAAAGUGCCAAGCCAGAAGAGGUAACUGAGUAUCGACCCAUAAGCUUAUGCAAUGUGGUUUAUAAGUUAAUCUCAAAAGUCCUAGCAAACAGAAUUAAGCAUGUGUUAUCUGGAGCGAUUUCGGUCUCCCAAAGUGCUUUUGUCCUAGGAAGGUUAAUUCAUGACAAUGUGAUUGCUGCCUUCAAAACAAUUCACAACUUGAAGAAAAGGGGAAAAAAAAAGUAGACAAAAGGUUGCUGUCAAACUUGAUAUGGCAAAGGCAUAUGAUCGUGUGGAAUGGGUGUUUUUGAAAAGGAUGAUGUCGGCUAUGGGGUUUCCACAGAGGUUCUGCUAAUUGGUAAUGGAAUGUGUGAGAUCGGUUUCUUACUCUAUACUGAUCCAAGACAAGCCUUUUGGUCGUAUUGUUCCUUCUAGGGGGCUUCGACAAGGUGAUCCCAUCUCUCCAUAUUUGUUUCUUUUGGUGGCUGAAGGUUUUUCUUCUAGCUCUUUUGAGGUGUGCAGAGAAGUCGAAAUACAUUCAUGGGGUGACUAUUGCACGGGGAGCACCAUCAGUUUCUCAUCUUUUCUUCGCAGAUGACAGUCUUCUGUUUUGUGAUGCAUCAAUCCGCGAGUGCCAAAAAUUGAAGGAGGUUUUUGGGGCAUAUGAAAGAGCCUCAGGACAGAAAAUGAGUGUUGAGAAGUCAGUUAUGUGCUUCAGUCUUAGAACUCUAGAAUUUAUUAAAGAAGCUUGUAGUGUGGCUCUAGAUAUGAACAUAGUUCCAUGUCAUGAACGUUACCUUGGGUUGCCAACAAUGACGGGGAAGAGUAAAAAGAAACUGUUCAAGGUUUGGUUGAUAGGGUUUGGAAGAGAGUUCAGGGAUGGGAAGGAAAGUUACUUUCAAAGGGGGGUAAUGAGGUGCUUAUAAAGGCGGUUGCUCAGAUUAUACCUACAAACAUGAUGAGUGUCUUUCAACUUCCUGUGGGCGUAUGUGAGGAGAUUAGCAGGCACCUAGCCAAAUUUUGGUGGGGGAAACCUGGUGGGAAAUGUAUUCAUUGGAGGAAGUGGGAUGCUCUUUGUGUCCCAAAGAGCCAAGGAGGAUUGGGUUUUAGGGAGUUUCAAAAUUUCAUUAAAACAUUAGUUGCUAAAAUUGGUUGGAGGUUGAUAUGUGACGAGUCUUCUUUGGUGAGUAGAAUGCUCAAAGAGAGAUAUUUUUGCAAUAAGUCAUUCCUUGAAGCUGAAACCAGGAAAAAUCCUUCAAGUAUCUAGAGGGCAGUGAUUUGGGGAAAGGAGUUGUUGUUAAAAGGGCUGAGAUAGCGGGUGAGUGAUGGCAGUUGCAUUCGGGUUUUUCAGGACCCUUGGGUUCUAGGGAUUCCAAAAUUCAAAGUCACAUGGAAGAGUGGACUUGAUUGGAAUUUGACUGUAGCUGAGCUUAUUACUUCUUCUGGGGGCUGGAAUAUAGAGCGGUUAGACCAAUUUGGUACUCUUCCAAAAGUUAAUGCUAUAUUAUCAAUACCUCUAGCUCAUACUGGCAGUAGAGAUAAGAUGAUAUGGAACCACAAUCGUAAUGGAAAAUUCUUGAUUAGAAGUGCUUAUUGGUUGGCAAUGAAGGAGAGUCAUCAACUGCCCCAAAAUGUUUCAGAUCAUUAGAAACACUUGUGGAAGCUAAAGGUGCCAUCUAAAAUCAGUCACUUCUUAUGGAAAUGUUUGAAAGGGUUUGUGCCAUGUAUGUCAGCAUUAUAUCAGCCAUAUAUGGUAGAUUCUCCUAUGUGUCUGAGGUGCCAACUAUCUCAAGAAACGCCCUUGCACGCGACAUUCUUGUGUCCAUUGAAUGUAGCAGUGUUGGAGAAGGUGAGCUUUUUCCCAAAGUUGGAUCCGGGUCUAGUAGUGCCAUUUGCUGAGUUUUUUGAUCAUGCUCUUUCUAUUUUAACCUUGGAUGAAAUGAAACUGCUGGUAAUUCUAUUACGGGGUAAUUGGAAUGAACGAAACUUGUUUACCCAUGGUGAGAAUCCUAGGCCCCUGGAGGUGCUUUAUGAGCAAGGUGUGUUACUAUGGAAAAGUUUAUUAGAGGUGCAAUCAAAGAAAAAUACACACAAUGGUAGCAACAAUAGUUCCAACAGUGGGAGGUGGCAUCCACCGAAUCCAGGUACAUUUAAAUUAAACUGUGAUGCAUCUGUUAUUGAUGAUGGAAAUUGUGUUGGUGUUGGGGCUGUGCUAAGGAACAAUUCUGGUGAGGUGGUGGUGGUGGUGGGAGAGAGAGUUGUGGGUAGGCUUAGGCUUGUGCUGCUAAAUUGUUUACGUUGAUUAAAGGCCUGGAGAUGGUGAUUCAAGGAGGAUGGCCUUUGGAGAUGGUUUAAACGGAUUGCCUUGAACCUAUGAGGUUAGUAAAUGGGAGGCUGAUUGUUUUCCUGAAGAAGGUGUGUUGGUUGAAAAGAUUAGAAUGCUAUUAGCUUCUAUCAAUGUUGGUGAGAUUCAGUAUGUUUCUAGAAAAGCUAAUAUGGUAGCUGAUUCUAUUUCAAAGUUUGUAGCCUGAUUGCAGGGGCGUUAUUCAUGGUUAGAGGUUGGGCCUGAUUGACUCAUGGAUAUCAUUGGUAAUGACAGACCGGUGACUUGUUCGAGUAGGAGAGAUGAGAGUGGGGAAGUUGCUUCCACCACCGAUAAUUCCUAAGCGUUGUAAUUCUAUUUUUUUUGUUUGAAUAAAAUUUUGAUGUUUUCUCCUCAAAAAAAGAUACAAUUUUUGUUUUGAAACAAAAGUGACACUUGAGAUCUGUUUUGGUUAUUAAGUGGGAUAAAACCUUCAGAGAGAUAUUAACUUUUUUUUAUCCUUUUAAAAUAAGUGAUGUGACUAAUUGCUACAUAAGUACAUGUGUGAAAAAUAGAUAAUAAAAAGAGGAGAAGUAGACACAAAAUAUUAGAAGGGCUAGAGAUGAUGAAGGAGAAAAGAUUGUUCAAAUGCAGUACGGCUUAUCAAAUAAGCCUUAUAUUUGCAUAAGGUAUUUUAGUAGAGAAGAUUCAGACUCUUCUGGAAGAGCUUGAUAUUAUAUCAAGCAUACGACGCUAAAUAACAUUAAAACUGCUCGUGCAAUUGCAGAGGAGUAGUUCUUGUAUCCCUAGCAUGUGGGGAGAUAAGUGAGGCUACAUCGGGUCAUUCUCCAUUUAUGUCAUCUUUGAUUUUAUUUGAUACAAGUUCCCUUGAUUCUCAAAAAAGCAAAGAAAACAAAAAAACCCAAAUUAUGUCUCAAAAUUACUGCGUAAGAAGUUUGGUGAGGAAUAUUGAAGUCACAUCUAAUACAUGUGAAAGAUCCACAUCAAGAUUUGCCAAAAAAUAAAAACACAAAAGAAAGAGUUCUUAAGAAAAUAAAAUAGACUAUGGAAAUAAGAAAAGGCACCGGACACAUGGGGACAUUCUUGCCAUAUACAAGUUUGAUCCUUUCAAAUAAUUGUGGGAUAAGCUACAAAAUUCAGCAUCUAUUCUAUGUUGAAUUAGGGGUCACCGUGUCUCUUGUUUAGUAGUAAUUUAACCAUGUCAUAAUUACAAGGGAAAAAGACCAUUUGCACAAAAUAGAAAAGGUCAAACUCCAUUUCAAUGAUAAUCUUUUUUAUUAGCCCAUUUGAAUACAAGGUACUUAUUUUAAGCCCAAAUACACAAAUCUUUAUUAAAAUAUAAUAAAACGAUAUUUUAAAAGACUUUUUUACCCUUAACCUUUAUUUAAAGAGGAAAAAUGAAAAAGAAGAAAUGAAGACUUUCCCGGAAGCACACCGGACACUGGCCGCCGGAUUCCGGUCACCGGUCGUUGGAAAAUUGAUGGUGAUCGGAAAAUCGCCGGAGACGCCGGAGUCUCACUGGAUUUUUUUGAAAAAAAUGUCACCGAAACCCACCGGAUUUUGCCGAAAGCAUACCGGCAAAAAAUGAAGUUUACUACCCCUAGUAAACUUUUACUGGGGGUAGUAAACUUGCAAAACAAUAGCUCCAAUGCCAUAAUUCACAUUGAAAAGGAAAAAAAUCAACUUAGAUGCGAAAAAAUGAAGUUUACUACCCCUAGUAAACUUUUACUGGGGGUAGUAAACUUGCAAAACAGUAGUUCCGAUGUCAUAAUUCACAUUGAAAAUGAGAAAAAAUCAACUUAGAUGCGAAAAAAUGAAGUUUACUACCCCUAGUAAACUUUUACUGGGGGUAGUAAACUUACAAAACAGUAGCUCCAAUGCCAUAAUUCACAUUAAAAAGGAGAAAAAUCAACUUAGAUGGGAAAAAAUAAAGUUUACUGAGGGUAGUAAACUUUUACUUAAAUUUACUACCCCUAGUAAACUUCUACUGAAGAUAGUAAACUUGCAAAACGGUAUCUACAAAUGCCAUAAUACACAUUAAAAUGGAGAAAAAUCAACUUAGAUGCGAAAAAAUAAAAUUUACUGGGGUAGUAAAUUUUUUACUAAAGUUUACUACCCCUAGUAAACUUCUAAUGGGAGCAGUUAACUUGUAAACAGUAUCUCCAAAUGCCAUAAUACACAAUAAAACAAAGGAAAAAUCAACUUAAUUACGAAAAAACAAAAUUUACUGGGGGUAGUAAAUUAGUAAAACCAAUGAACUCAUACUAUUCAAUCCGAAACUAUUCAAACAUACAUCCUUGGUAAGAAACCAAAUGAUUCCAAAUUCAAAUCACAUUUGCGGUUGAAACUUGAGGAUCAUGGAGAUUCAAAUCAUACGAAAAUACAAAUCACAUGAAAAUUGAGGAUUGUUCCUGAGGAGCCUGCCAAUUUGAUCGUCCUGAUCUCCAACGCCGGCAACCGAGGAUUCUGGUUCAGAAUCAAAAGUGAAUCGGAUUUUCCUUCCAAGCAAAUCUGAAUCCACUAAAUCUGUACAUCACGAUGAACAAUUUGACCAUCGGAAGAGGAAACAGAGCUUACCGGGAGGUUUACAUGACGGUCGACGGCGAGCUGGUCGGGUCGGAGGUGCCGUUUCCGAUGGUGUUCACCAACGAGAUGAAUCCAGAGAUUGUUGCAAGCGAGAGGCCCGGUCGUCGAGGAAGAUGGUGACGGUGUAGUGCCGAUGCUCCUUGCUCGAGGGCGUCGGUGGCGACGCUGUCUUCCACCAUGGAAGUUCGUUGAGGUGAGAGAGAGGAAGAGAGAGGAGAGAUGAGAGAUGAGUGAGAAGUGAUCGGGAAAGAAGAUAAGAAAGGAGUGGUGGGAAUAGAACAGUGGGUAUAAAUGUAUUUUCCUUAUGAAUAAUUGAGAUGGGCAUUGGGAAAAGAUUAUCAUUGUUGUGGGUAAUAAAUCUUUAAAAUUAGUAUCAUUAAGGCAUUUACUCUAAUUACAAAUUAAUACUAACAGAUCAAUUCAUUUCAAAAAUAGUUUUUAAGAAACUAUGAAAAAACAAUAUAUCUGACAAUCAAGGAUAAGUUCCUUCACAAUCUUCUUAAAUACGAGCAAGGCUCGUAUAAGCUAGCCAUAUUUUUCCCUAAUCAUACUCAUACUCUGAGGUGACGGUCCGUGUUGAAGGGGAAAGACAAGAUGAUGUCCUCUAGCUAAUGUUUGAAAUGUUGAAUGUCAUGAAACCAUGGUCUUGGGGGCCUUGAGUCAAAAAAAAAAUAUGCUGCAUUUUGCACCUUGCUAAAAUGCUAAUAGUUUAAGGUAAUAGUGAGAACAAGAACAACUCCACCCAAAGUCCACAUAUUCUCUCUUUUUCUCUCUCUAGCUAGCUGCCUCUUGUUUUGUUUCCUUGAUGAAACUCACAUCAUCACAUGGUUGCUUGGUCAAAAUUUGGCAUCUUGGCACUACAUUGUGAUCUCCAUGUGUGCCCAUGUUUAUUUUUGAUUUAUCACAUAAUAAAGAAAAAAUGGACCACUAUUUUGAAUGAGAUAAAGUCAAGUCAUGAGGGAAAUCAUAUUUACAAGCUAAAUUAUUUCUACCACAUUUAUGACUUCAGGAAAUCAAUUUUGAGAUUAUAGUGGAUUAGCUAGAUUUUUUGUUGUUGUUGGGUUGGGGGGGGGGGGGGGGGGGGGGUUAACAGAAUGCUUAGGUUGGUAUGUUUUGAGAAAUUUGGAUUCUUCAAAGAUUAGAGAAAGUUAUUCCCUUAUCUUUUGCUUCAGGAAGUUAUACACAAUUUGCAACAACGAAGGAAUAGAUAAAAGGUAAGAAAAUUUAAUAUAUUAAGGUAUUUGAGCUUGAAGUACUGAUAAUAUAUUAAUGUUUCGUCUUAUAUUUACUUGUAAAUUUGAAUAUUCUCUUACACAAUGCAUUUAAUUGGAAAGAAAAUAUUAUCGUUAUAAGUCGGAACGAUGCUAAAAGAUGACUACAACAUUUUACUAACAAAGUUACCAUUUUACAUUUUACUUGAUAUGGUAGAUGCAUGAAAAUAACUGCGAAACUAUUGGUACCCCUGUUUUCACCAUGAUGUUAAUUGUUAAACCAAUCUGACCAAAACCAUUAACAGAUCACAUGACAUGCAAACAAACCAAAAAAAGGAAGAAAACAAAUCAGUAGGUCUGUAAAUGUCGAAUAAAAUAUCUUUCCUGUUUCAAAAAUUUUCCCUAUUUUUUCACCGCUGAAUAAUUUUGAAUAUCUAUAAUAAUGAUGAUAUUAAACCAUUGCCUUAAAAAAGCUUCAGUCAUAGUUUGAGGUGCUCAGAAAAGGGUACCCAAAACUGUGUUAAAGGGACACCUCUCUCUCUCUCUCUACUAAAGGUCCUCUCUUUAUUUUUCUCUCUAGUAUUUGGUGAAUCAGGUUCCUAAGGUUUUGUAGUUUAGAGAGCACUUGAAAAGUUGGGGGAGGGAGAGAGAUAGACUCAAGAGUGAAACUUCAAACUUGAACUAUAAUUUGCAGUCUUUCUUUAUGUUUAAAUAUCUGCAAAGGGAACCGACAGAAGAGAAGAUGGGAAUUCCUGAUCCAGAAGCGAUCAAGCAGUUUCAGUUGUUAAUGGAGGAAGGUAGAGUUUUGAAAACCCAUUUCAGAUAUGUCAAUGGAUCAUAGUCUUGUAUGAUCUAGAACUUGAUCCAUCUUUCUUUUUUGCUUUGUCUUUUUUGCUUUUUUGGACUUUUACAGUUGAUGAGCCGCUGAAGAACACAUUUGAGGUUAGACCCUGUUUCUGUUUCGAGUUUGCUCGAUCUGGAUCGUUUAAAGUUUUGAACUUUUGCGAUUUGCAGCACUAGAUAAUGAAAUCAUUUACUUUACUCAGUUCAGUUGAAUCACUUACCUUUGCUUCUGUUUUGGAAAUUUUGCUUGCUGUGAAUCUUAAAUCAGUUUUCUGGAUUUGAUCUGGGUCUCUGAUGUGUUGCAUUUUGGGUUUUUCCUCAUAUUUUGGGCUGUUAGAUUGAUUGGCUUGAAGUUCAUCUUCUAUGUUUCGAAUCAAUUUGAUCUUGCUAGUAUUUUCGAAAGAGAAACUUUGUUUCUUGCUUUUAUUGAGGGGCAAGUAUGAAUCCUGGCUGUGAUCGGCAUGUUGGACUUUAUCAAGUGUUAACUUUCUGUUUGUUGAUAAUGUCAACUUAAUUGGUUGAAUUGACGAACCUAUAAGGUUGGUGUAGACUUUACUUGAAUUCAACCUUACUGCAGUACACUGGGUGCAAUGUAUGUGCUGCUACACUUGGCUAUGCAUUAUGAAGUCCCUUGGUUUUGGAAAUAUAGGAGAAUAAUGCUUUCUAUAAUUUAUAUACGUGUGUAUACACAUCUCCAACUAAUCAGCAUCCAAGAGAGAAAAAAGCAAGCAAAAGGGAAAAAUCGUAGAGAUGUCAUACUUUAAGACAAUAUAGUUGGCAGUGGAAUGUUUUUGUCGAGGAUAAAUUCUUAAAAGUUGGUCAUUUGGUUUUUAUAAUUUAUUACCUGUACAAGUGGAAUGUACCUUAAAAUCUAAAUACUGCCUCUUCAUUUCAGAAUGUGCACCAAGGGUAUCCCGAUGAGACAUUUGUGCGGUUUCUUAAAGCGAGGGACUGGAAUGUCGGCAAAGCCCACAAAAUGGUUAGAUUAUUAAGUUUCCUCGAUAAAUGCAACAAGUUUGUCAUCUAUGCUAUGGUUUGCUUUACUAACAAUGCUUAAAUUGUUCCAGUUGGUUGACUGUUUGCAAUGGAGAAUAGACAGUGAAAUUGACAAUAUAUUGGCGGUGAGUUUUUUUUUAUUAGGAAAUUAUUGGGUAAACAUAUAUCUUGUGACCAAUCAUGUGUAACUCAAAUGUUUGUCAGUUUGAUAUUCUCUUGAAUUUUUGUAUUUAGAAUGUUUCAAACAGAGAUAUCUUUCUAUAAAAGUUGGUGAGUUAAAUCUGAAAGGUUUUUAAGAGCACAUAUGUUUUGUUAAUCAUGAAUCUCGAUAUGCCCUCUAAGAAGUCUUUAAGGUUUUGUUAUAACUUUUGUUUGCAGAUCUGAUAUGUUUUGCUAGUUAUUGAAAUGUAGAAGCAUGACAGUUGCACCUGGCGAAAAUCUCUACUUUCAGUUGCAUUCAGAGAGCAUACGUUAUUGUUUGGAUGUUAGGUCCAGUAGCCACUAGCCACAACUGGUUGAACUUUUAGGCAGUGUGGAAAUCUGGACACACAUGUUAGAGAGAAAUCUAUCAUUGGUUAGAGGGGAUAUGACAUCUAGUUUAGACGCGUCUAGUUUAUAGGAAUUAGUUAUACUGUUGAUUAUGCUAUGUCCAUUCUCCUUCUGAAUGUCAUAUUGUGGAUUGAUACUUGACACAGUGUGGAGCAGUAACUCUAUAUAAUGUGGCGACUAAUGUUUUUUUUUGGUAAAUACAGAAACCAAUCAUACCUACUGAUUUGUACAGAGCAGUGCGAGAUUCUCAGCUUUUGGGACUGUCUGGUUACUCAAAAGAGGUAUUUCCUGAUACAAUUUGUCAUGCCUUCUAUUUCUUCCAUUAUACCUUGCCACAUCCACCUUGUCUAAAAAAGGGAUGCCCCAGCAUCUGAAUAUUCUUCUUUUUUCUGCAAUAGUUGAUUAGUUUUGGCUCGCUUGGGGUGCUUAAUGUUUAAUUACAAAAUCACUAUAUUUACAUUGUUGCCCUCUUUAUUUCUUCCAGGGUCUUCCUGUCAUUGCUGUUGGUGUUGGGCUCAGCACAUAUGACAAAGCUUCUGUAAGGAUGAUAUUCUUAUAAUGAUGUAACAUAGUACAUUGGUACACUUGAUAUAUAUACAUGGAUAUACAUAGACACAUAUAUUAAUUGUACUACUGGGCUGAGUCUAUAGAUGUAUAUUUAAAGCACAGCGAGGUCCAUGAUUGUAGGCCUUUAUGUUGUAUUACCAUUCUUUCAGUGGUAUUAACUUGUUUGAUUUCAUUAAUGUAGGUAAAUUACUAUGUUCAGUCGCACAUCCAGAUGAAUGAAUACCGAGAUCGUGUAGUUUUAGUAAGUACUUAAGUUUGUCUAAUCAUCUUGCUGACAUGUAAUUUCAUAUGGAGCCUGAUAUUUUUUUUUCUUUUGUUGAAGCCUUCUGCAACAAAGAAGUAUGGCAAAUAUAUUGGAACUUGUGUGAAAGUUUUGGACAUGACUGGCUUAAGGCUGUCGGCGCUUAAUCAUAUUAAGGUAUCCCUAUCUUGAGCUCCUAUCUUGGUCUGUGGCAAGUUUAUGUGGUCAUAUGAUAUUUAUGUUUUUUGGAUUUCUUUUAGGUUUUUACUCUUCUUCACACCACCCACCCCCCCCCCCCCCCCCCGGUCCAAGCCAAAAAAUUCAAAAAACAACAGAACUGUUGACACAAUUUUUUUUCAGUUGUUUUUCCAAGGGCCCAUAUGAUUUGACACUUUCUUUCUGUUGAUGCAGCUAUUGACUGUUACCUCCACAAUCGAUGACUUAAAUUAUCCAGAGAAGACAGAUACAUACUAUAUUGUCAAUGCCCCAUACAUAUUCUCAGCAUGUUGGAAGGUUUGUCUGCCAGAGAAACUCACACUUUGAAAUAAACACAUAGGAACGAGGAAAUCCUGAUGAUGGGUGGUCUGCCAUCCUUGAGGCAGAAGUAUUAAUGUCUACAUUCUUUACAGGUGGUAAAACCUCUUUUGCAAGAAAGGACAAGGAAGAAAAUCCAGGUUCUCCAAGGUUGUGGGAAAGAUGAGUUACUCAAAGUAAGCAUGUUCGUUUAGUUCAAACAUCACCAUUGGCUCCCUAUUCCACUUGUGGCUUGCAAUUUUGGUGCUGUUUAAUACUUUCGUAAUGGAGUACACCUAUAGGUUACCUUGAGCACUCCAAUGCAAUUUUGUUCUUCUCCAGCUGCAUCUGUUUAUCUGCAUCAUCUUCGAUUCUUCGAUGAUGACAAUCUGACCUGGAAAUGUGUGUGCAGAUCAUGGAUUAUUCGUCCCUCCCACAUUUUUGUAGAAAACAGGGUUCUGGAUCAUCUCGGAAUUCGGAGAAUGGACAUACUAGUAACUGUUUCUCCUUGGACCAUGCUUACCAUCAAGAGCUCUACAAUCUUGUUAAGCAGCAAGCAAUGCGCAUGGAGUGUGUGGCACCAAUCAAACAGGGUUCCUUCCAUGUCAAUUUCCCGGAUCCAAACCCAGAUGACGCAGAGAUUGCGAAAACCAUAGAGGCUGAGUUUCACAAGUAUGGAAACCACAAUGGCCUCACCAAGUCACUAAGUGGCCUAAGAUUAAACGGUUCUUGAAUUCCAUUUUUUAACAUGUACAACGGUUAUAAGCGUCUGUAGCCUACAUGAGUACAUGACACUGGUAACAUUUCUAUGAGACCAGAAUGUUGUCAUAUUAAUUUUGUGUAAUAGUCUAUGCUUGCAUCAACUCGAUGCAGAUUCUUUAUGACAAAAGCUAAUCCGGUGUAGUCGGAAGUACCGCCGAUUUUAAUCCUUCUUCCAUGUGUACUGUGUAGGAAACACUAAUCUGUUAUAGAAGCUAAUUCCCACUAGCGUAUUACAGAUUAUUCAAAAGAAAUAUUUAACUUUACCAUCUAGAUGACUGUUUUAUAGUAUAAACUGAUUUUAGGAGACUAGGACUAUAUGAGUUAUGAGGUAGGGAUGGAGGUAUUGUUUAAUACUAGCUGUCAUAAUGUAAAUUCACAGCUAGUUGAAAAUUGAAAUGGAGAAGAUAACGAACUACUCGUAUGCCAAUUAGAUAACGGGCAGCUAUAGAUACCGUCAAUGAGUCUAAACUAAUCGCAAUAAUCGUCAUUUUCUCCGAGCUACUAAUACUUGACCAUUUUAAAUCUUAAAGGUGUCAUAUCAUCUGGUACAAAUGUAACAUUUAAAUCUUAGGUGUGGCCUUUGUGUUUUGCGUUAUACGUUUCUCUGGUAUAGAAUGCAUGGUUGAUUGUAGUUGUAAUUAAAUUGUGGCCUUUGUGUUUUGUUCCUGUUGCCCCUGAUCUUGCUUAUCUAUGAUUAGCAUUACUUUGAACACCGAAUUGGAAUGUAUCAUGGUAUUCAAAUGGAUUGACAACAGAAAGACAAUUAUUGCAGAGCCCUGAGCCCCUGAUUGAAGCUAAAAAGAAAGUGCAGAUUCCCAAAACUACAGAAAGAUGUUGCUGUUGCUUAUAUCUUUUGUUUGGCCACGAUGAAGAAGAAAUAUUCUUGAAGGCUGAAUUCUUUAUCAAUAUGUAGUGAUUUAUGGAUGUAUGUAUUUAUGGAAUGGAAUGUUGAAAUCUGUACUCAAUGUGCCUCAAGUUGCUAUGAUGUGACUAGUUUCCGGAAUGCUCACAAGGUCAAAAUUUCCUUUUUAAAGGCACUAGUUGUUGGAGAAUUGGAAAUGGUUGUCUCACUGAUCUGUGGAAUGACAAAUGGCUGCCAGAAGCUUCAUAUUCCCUUGCAUCACAUUAUGGUCAACAACCUCCAUUGAUGGUCAAUCAGCUCAUUUAGUUGGAUCCUCCCUCUUGAAACUUAAUUCUGUAGCUCAUAUUUUGUCUGUUUCAGACCAAGUGGUAAUUCAGACAAUUCCCCUCAUUGAUUCUGACAAUGAAGAUAAAUUGAUUUGGCCGCAUCAACAAUCAGGUUCUUAUACAGUCCGGUCAGGGUAUCAUUUAGCUCAGGCAGCUGUGACUUCAACUCCUAAAUUAAAAGCUUCUUCUUCACAUUCUGUUACCUCGGCAGUGUGGAAAUGGAUUUGGAACUUACAAACUCUUCCAAAAAUCAAAAUCUUUAUUUGGAAAGCAGUUAGAAAUUUUGUAGCUACAAAAGGAAACUUGCAUUUUCGGCAUAUAUCUCAGUCUUCUUUAUGUCCUAUUUGCAAUGCUUUUCCUGAAACAAUUGAACAUGUUUUGUUUACUUGCCCUUGGGUAGUUUGUGUUUUGUUUGCUCACCCUUUUGGCAUUCAUGUUCAAUGUUCUUAUAUUACUAUGUUGGAUGCUUGGAUUCAGCAACUUAUUAACUUGCGGAGUUCUGUUGCUGAUAUGAAGUUUGUUUGUACACAUAUUUCUUUCUUGCUAUGGAAUAUUUGGAAGCAUCAAUGUGGAUCCAUUUUCAAUCACUUCUCUCCGGAUCCAGUCUCGGUCUCAAAAUUAGCUUCACAGCAAGCAGAUGAAUUUUUAUCAGUUCAGAACAAGCAUCAUCGGAAGAAUUCUCACUUGGUGCUUGUUCCCUCUGCUUCUGAUAAUUAGAUUCCCCCUUCAGUUGGAACUUUAAAGAUUAAUACUGAUGCUACUUGGAGUUCAGAGUCUUUUAGUUGUGGUUUGGUAGCCCUACUUAGAGGCCUCGUUUGGUUUGCGGAAAGGAAAGUAGUUCCUUCAUCUCUCCCAUGGGAAGGGAAAGUGAACGGGAAUGAAAUUUCAAAAGAAGUUUUCAUUCCGAUGUUUGGUAACGNNNNNNNNNNNNNNNNNNNNNNNNNNNNNNNNNNNNNNNNNNNNNNNNNNNNNNNNNNNNNNNNNNNNNNNNNNNNNNNNNNNNNNNNNNNNNNNNNNNNNNNNNNNNNNNNNNNNNNNNNNNNNNNNNNNNNNNNNNNNNNNNNNNNNNNNNNNNNNNNNNNNNNNNNNNNNNNNNNNNNNNNNNNNNNNNNNNNNNNNNNNNNNNNNNNNNNNNNNNNNNNNNNNNNNNNNNNNNNNNNNNNNNNNNNNNNNNNNNNNNNNNNNNNNNNNNNNNNNNNNNNNNNNNNNNNNNNNNNNAAGUCGACAUCUGUUUAGUCUUUGUGGUUUUAUUUUAAUAGUUUUUCAUCCAAAUAAUCCUUAUGGUUUUAUUUUAAUCUGAAUAGUCCUUAAAGUCAUGAUUUUUUUAUCUAAAUAGUCAUUUCGGCAAUUUCCUUUAUCUAAAUAUGCCAUAAGAACUAUUUGGAUGAAAAAUCAUGACUUUAAAAACUAUUCAGAUUAAAAUAAAACCAUAAAGACUAUUUAGAUGAAAAAUCGUGACUUUAAGGAUUAUUCUGAUUAAAAUAAAACCAUAAGGACUAACCAGAUGUCGACUUUAAACCACAAGGACUAUACAAUAUUUUACCCAAAAUAUAAUCAUAACAGAUUACUGAAGAUGGAACCGAUUUCAAUAAAUAAGAAUACAUUGAUAUAUUCACAAGUACAAAUUAUAUAUCCAAAGAAAGAUGAAAGAUAAUUCCAGUAUUUCCGCCCGUUCUUACACAUAUGCACACAUGUAGCCAACCCUUUUCCCUUCUAUAAUCUCCGCACAAAUCUUUCUCUUCUGCUGGGACCUUACCAUUCGAUCUAGUAUCAAAAGCCAUCUUGUAAACUUUGAGGAAACAAGGGGGACUGAAACUCUAACCUAUAAUAUGGUCAAACACAAUAUUGGAGUUGGGUUCAUCUCAAAUGUUUGUAGCAACUGUAAGCAAUACCAACCGACACAGCAGCACAGACAAUAGCCAAAGCUGCAUAUGUAUCUUCCCGCUCCCAGCUCUCAGACCAUGUAGGCAUAGAGCAAAACUUCCGAGCGGAUGCAGCUUUCCCUCUAUGUGAAAGUGGUUUGCUGCUGCUCUUUUUCUUUUCAGAUGUCGCUUGUGUUGCCACCGCAUUUGAAUCAGGACUACUAAUCCUAUCUAUUAACAUAGUGCUCUGGCAGCACGAAUUACUUCCAUUCUCCUGGCAACAGCCUCCAAAUUCAUCUUGAGAUCUGCAUGGACCAGUAUUCAUCCCCCUUACAUUCGUUUGUGUCAGCUCUGUACUAGUUUUCUCCACAUUGGACUCGCCAUUAAGCUGGAGCCUUAAUUCUUGAGAUUUCUUUUGUUGUUCUUCCGAUAAACCCAUUUGACCCCUGAAAUAACACCAUAUAGUUUGUCACUACGUGUCAAAGAACUUACUAACAAGAAACACAUUUAAACAAGAAAAAAAUUUAGCUACUGCAAUUCAGCUAUGAAUAUCCAUCGGUUCAAGAGACUGUUCCCUUCCAUUUUUCAGUUUUCUACUAACAUUUACAUAGCUAACCAGUUUUGGUUAAGGUGCAAAAGAGGAAGUGAGGAGAACUUUGCCUAAGAUCCAAUUGUUAUCAGUAGUCUGAUUUGGAAACAUGAGAAAACGGCUUCCAUAGCAGCCUAGAAAUUAUGACACACAACUAAAACUGAAAAAAGAAAAAGAGAAAAAGGACUACCUCCACAGCCAGUCUACAAUUUCUCCUCUCCCAAUAUGUUGCUCAAGCAAUUGAGGUACAUCUUCUGGAGCAACAUAUCCAUACCUAUGAGAAAUAGAAUGAUCAGAUAGCUCAUAUAUCAUUAUGGUAAAUAAUAGAACUGGAUUACAGUACGAAGCCACUGGAAAUGAGAACCGCAAAAAGAAGAAAAAGUUAAAUGACUUGGGGCACAAACUUCCGUACCAGUGGCCAGUGACUUCUUUGUUGAUACUUGAUCCAAAUAUAAUAACAUUUCCUGCAUACUUAUGCCCCCCAAUGUGAGAACAUGGCCUAACAGACACUUUACCUUGUAGACCAUGCAAAUCUAUCUCUUCUCUGAAUCUACUGAUCAAGGGAGGUCCACAGACUCCACAACGGCGAUCCCUGGACCCAUGAGAACAUACAAAUACGUAUGAACCCCUCAGAGUUUCAGGAGUUCCAGGCAGCCACUCACCAUCCUUCACAAGAACUUCUUCAACGAAUGUGUCAACAUCAAAAUGUGUCAAUCUCCUGCAAUGUUUCCAACCAGUCGGUCAGUAUUAAUUUUAGGGACAACAGACCUCAAGAGAAUAUUAUCUAAAGAAACCCUCAUGUAGCAAGUAAAUGACCUGUAUCUGAUCAUGUCGGGGAAUAUUAAUACAUCACCAUUUGACGUCUCAGUUCCAUCAUGCCCUUCACAUAUUGUUAAGCGAGUCUACAAGAGGAAAGAGAUGAAUCAAUGGAUGAAAAUGAAUCAGCUGAAAUUAUAUAACCACUUCCGGAAAAGACGUGAAAAGGAAAUAAGCUGAGAGUUAUGACAUGCUGUUUCAAGUAACAUGCAAUGCACGGCAAAUAAACACUCUGGCUAUGAGACUUAUCCCCUACCAGAUUUUCAUAGAUUUAUUCAUAACAAAACAGACUGCAUAUCAAUGUACUGAACAACUACCCUUCUAAUGGACGUAUUUGCAGCAUUUCAUAUCCUUAGAAAGAGAGGUAUACUGAAAUAGUAUCUAGACUAGUAUCCCGACCAUCUAUCCUCAUUAUAAUGAUCUGCAAAGGUGAAUGUUGACUAGGAAACUAAUAUGCCAUCAUCUUACAAGCGUAAACCAUGUUUUUGACGUGACCAAGAACAACUAAAAGGAGAAGAAAAAGAAGAAGAUAACUCAAUGUCAUAGAUCUCUCUUGUUGAAAUAAUUAUACUAAACAUCUUGUACUUGGGUCAAAAUCCCCAACUUUCCAUAAUAUCCUGUAACAUGACACAAAUGCAUAGUUUUACUUAUAUCCGUAGUUAUACUCUUUCAAAACGGCUUUUGAUUCAAACACCACAACCAAAAUCAGAAAAAGGAAAAAGAUGCAUUUUCAGAAUCCGAAACACCCUCCUUCAACAACCCUAAAUACCUCAUCAAAAUGAACCUCAAAUCUAAUCGAAUCCAACAUCUAGCAACCUCCAUCAAAGAACAAUCAAGUUUCCAUCACACCAAAAUCACAAAACCACUCCAAAAGGACAUGCUACCAAACCAGUCUUAGAAACCAAGAAAUCCACACAAAACCCACAUUCCAAUCCACCAAAAUUCAAAACAAAGAAACCCACAUUCAAAAGCAAAAACCUUUAAAACCCCCCACAAACAAACCCUAAACCAAAAUCCCCCCAAAAUCGAAAACCCUAAACUUAUAAAGCUCACACCUUUAACAUGAUUCCUCACAAUCCAACCCCUACCCACUUCAAUUCAAUUCCCCACAUUACAACCCCAAACCCUCAUUACCUCUUUCCUCAUAUCACCCCUCCUCGCCAUCACCGCCGCGUACAGCAGCCUCGGCAGCCGAUCAAACUCCGCCGCCUCGAUCCUCGGCGGCCACACCGCCGGGUUCUUGUAGCACAAAAACACAUGCCUCUCGUAAAACUCCACCGUCCCGGCGAGUUGACUCGUCCGGAACUCGGCUCUCAAGAACCCGAACUCCGCCUCGCCGCCGCCGCCGCUGUUGUUGUCGGCCAGGAGGCCCUCGUUCUGGAAGCUCCCGGAGGCGCUGCUGCCGCCGAAGGCGUGGUGCGGGUUCGGGUCAGAAGCGAGCGGGUCGGAUAUGACAAUCGGGGAGGAGGAGGACGACGGGGCGGCGAAUAAUGAGAGGGAAGAAGACGACGCGUCGUAGGUUCGGUCUCUGGCCGCCGUAGCCAUUUUAGAGAGAGAGAGAGAGAGAGAGAGAGAGAGAGAAAGUAAAGGUUUGAGUGAGAGUAUUUGUUGUUGUUUACUUCCAGUGGUAGUGGGAAGGUGGAGAAGUAGGAGUGGGUCUUUCUCUCUUCUCUUUCUCUACUACUACUAGUAGUGAGAAGAAUGGACUUUUGGUUCGACCCCAAGUUUGGGGAAGUUACGACACGUGCUUUUAUUAGGUGUAUUUUUGUACUCUCUCUCUCUCUCCUCCUCAGUUUCUCACACCACCCACACUGCGGUGCUUUAUUACCAUUUUAUGCUUCUACCCUCUGCAGGCAACAUUCAAAGGCUCUCAUGUAUCCGCUUGUCGUUCGAGACAAAAAAAAAAAAAUUCUUCUAACAAGGACUCUUAAAUUGAGGACUAAUCGAAAACUUUUUAGCUUAUCUCACUUCAUGCAUACUACAUCGAAGGUGAGUGUAUGCAUAUAGAUUUUUCAUUUCUAAAGUCCAUUUUGAUAAUUAGAUGGUGUUUUAGAGUAUUGAAAUUUUACAUACAUUUGAGCCGUUAGUGUACUCGGUACUAGCGGCAUUGAACUACUCUGUGACUCUGUAGUGACAUUGAACUACUCAUAUGCGCUUGUCAUUCUAGGAAAGAAUACGACGAGGGUGAGGAGUCCGACGGCAUUGAACUACUCUGUGACUCUGUAGUAAAUGCACUUGAAUGGUUUUCAUUCAAUGCAUAGAUAAAGGGGGGAAAGGGGGGAAGAAUGUGAUGCACAAUGAAGAGUAGGAGAGUCGAGACUACAUUUUCUAAUAACCGAUAAUCCAAGAAUUGUUGCAAUAUACAAAACCACACGCUCUCUCGAGUUACAUACAGCCAAGCUCAUUCAAAGCUUUGUUAAUGCAGACACAGUGACACACCCAAACUUGCUCUAGCCUUCAAUGUUUCAGAGUAGUUCCAUGAUUUGUUACACAUACACACACGUAUCAAAGGGGUCUCUCGCCCGGGAGAUAAGAAGGAGAGCCGCCCUCAAUCUGGUUCCUUUUCCUAUUAAACAUGCCGGUGAGAGUUGGCAAUAGUAUCUUUUUCGACAUAGAUGUCUUUGAUUUCUCCAUCUUCCGGACCUGGACAGUUUUCGUCUGGGGGUUCUGCGUUUGAAUCCUGUAAUGGCGUGGGGAUGAUUCCACUGACGUCUCUGUUUCUGCCAAUAUCCGUGAGGCAGCAUCUGCUGCUUUCUUUUGCUCGCGUUCCCGCCACCUUCGGAGCUCUCCUUCUACUGCCUUUUUGGCUGCUUCAGCCAUUUCAGCCCUCUUUCUAGCCUCCUCAGUUGCAGCCUUCAUAUCUUCAAUCUCCUUCUGGGUUGCCUCUAACCUCUUCAAGGCCUCAUUUUCACUAGCCUUCACAGCUUCCACCUGAGCCAUAGCAGCAGCCACUCUCAUUUCAGCUAAUGUGUCGGACUCCUCAACCUUUCGGCUCAAAGACUCAAAUUCAUCCUUUGAUAUAGUGAUCUGGCCACCAGACUCAGAAGUUGAUGCGCGAGCAGCGUUAGUUCUCUCGGAUAAAGUUCUAAUCUGAUCAAGGGCCCUUUCUUCUGCUGAUUUAGCUUCUUCAGCUUCUUCCAGAGCAACUCUCAGCCUCUUCUCUGCCUCUUUUACAGCGGUUUUGGUACUUUCAGCUUCCUUUUUCAUUUCCUCCGCUUUAAUCUUCAUCUCUUCUGCAUCCCGUCGAGCAUUUUCAAUUUCCAGGGACAGCUGGUUUAGCGUUGCUAUCAUUUCAGUGGAAGCACCUCUAGCUUUAGAUUCUUCAGCUAGGCAUGCUUCAAGCUCAGUCUUUGUUUUCCGCAGUUUGACAUGUAAAUUCCCAGCAAUAGAUUCUGUUUCUGCUUCCUUUUCCUUGAGCUCAGCAUGCUCUUUCUUCACAUUCUCAAUUUCCACCUUAAGCGCCUCAACUAAAAUUCUGAGGCUGCUUUCUUCUUCAACAACUUUAUGCAGUGAAUCCUUAGCAUCAUCCAGCUCCGAAGUGACUGUUCUUACAGAAUCUAAAUCUGAAGCCUUUUCAUUCUCCAUUUGCUUUUGCAGGGCUCCAAUUUCAUUCAACGUUUCAGCAAGUUGUGCUUCAAGAUUUCUGGAAAUUUCUGGAUCAAACUCUUUUUUUAGAGAAAGCACUUUCUUUGCAGAGUCUUCUGCCGUAGCCUUAUAUGCUUGCCUCAGGACAUCCUUUUCGGAAAAUAUUUUUGCUUGCUCUUGCUGGGCUUCCACAGAUGCGAGCUUCACUUGCCCUAUUGAUUCAUGCACAGCUGCAAUUUCCUUAGAGAGCUCACUAACCCUCUCCGCAUUUGCUUUGGCUGCAUCUUCAGCUUCUGCUGCCUGCUUCAGGGCAGCAACUUUUGCUUCUAAAGAUGCAUCACAGUCCUGACGGAUUUUUGUCAACUCUUUCUUUGCAGCAUCAAGUUCAGUAAUUACAUUCAUGUAUUUUGCUCUUUCUGUUUCCAAAUCUUGCUUCCAAGCACCAUCAGUUCCAGCUAGGUUCCCACAGUUUGCUUCUUUGAGUUGCUUGGCCCGAUUUUUUGCAGCUUCUGAUGCCUUUACUGCAGAUUCUUUAGAUUCACCAAGAGAUGUCAGCUUCUUAGUCAGCUCUUCACGAGUUACCUUGGCCUUUGCAAGCUCCAUAAGUGCUUGGGCUUUAGUAGUUUCAGCAUUCAUUAGUUGUUCCUUCAACUUGUUCAAUUCUUUCUGGACCAGGUGAAGCUGUGUCUCGUUGGCUAUCACUCGCUGCAUUGAAAACAACAAGUGUUAACAGCUUCCCACAAGAAAAAUCUGGAUAUUUUUAAAAGUAUCGGCAUUAACUAAAAAGUCGCUAUGAUUUUGAGUUGAACGAGACUAUAUCAUUCAUAUCCAUAAAAACAAACUACGAAUUCUUUCAAGCAGCAGGUUCCAUCUCAAUAACUUUUAUAGACAGCUGAAAAUAUUAUGAGUUGUAACUAUUUGGGUGGGAAGGAAGCUGCAUACAUGCCCUUAAAUCCACAAAGAAAAACUUGAGCACGGAAUGAUCUUAACACUUCUUUUACUUUAACAACAAUUGUUUUCUAGUUCUUCUUCAAAAAUGGACAAAAAGUUGCUUUAAUUAAUGUGACAACAGGAUUAGCCAAGUUGCAAAUGCUUGCCAAUUUAAAAUAUAGAUGUCACAUUAUGUGGUGUACAAAUACCUCUGCUGACUGAGGCUUUGUCUUCCUAAUGGCAGGUUUCUCUCCAGAGCCAGAGAACGCACCCUCGCCAAAUAGUGAUACAGCAUCUUUAACGGAUUGGAAUGGUGCCCUAGUGUCAAUCUCUCCCACCUCCACUUUAGGACUAGGAGAGUUUGUGGCACUCUUGUGGUCUUUUGCAACCAUACUGCUCUGUUUAUUGUAAUACCUCUGAUCCUGGUUUUCUGAAAAAGUAAUAGAAUAACACUUUAAAAUGUAAUCCAAUGAAAAGGAGCAAGGAUAAUCGCCAAUUGCUACCAACAACACGUCUCAGCCUACCAAACAUACAAUUUACCCAACCCUCAUUUAGCAUUCAUACAAACAACACAGGCAAGACACAUGCAUCAUAGGAUAUGAUUAGAAGGCUAAAACGGCAGACACAAAUUCCCACUAACCCAAACUACAUUGACACUAUGAAAUUUGCAUAGACUCUCACUCUAUGGUUGGAGAUGACAACAUUUGAUACUGAAAAUCCAUGUGAAAUUGGAAUAUAAACUAGUACUGGGCCUUGUCAAACCUCUUGCACCUUUUAUACUUCGUUAAGAAACCAAACAGGAAAGUUGAAACACCAGAAAGAAAUCAUGACUCAAUUCUACAGAAGCAUUUUCAUAAUGCACACUCACAACUAAGCAAGGUAAAGAAGAAUAUGAUAGCCUCAGUGUUUAAUAAGUUCUCUUCCUCACAUUACACCCAAUUCUACCCCACAGUCUCACUACCAUUUCUAUUCAACUCAUAAACAGCACAAAGGCCACCACCAAAGAGUUCAAGGCCACCCAACACCACCAUAUAAGGUUUAACAACUGCUAACUGCAAAAAGGUUAACGGCACAAGGAAAAAGCUGAGUAAGCUCAAACAAAUCAACCCAACAGCACAUUUUGCCAGUAGCAUUUCCCAGAACUAGUUCUCGAAGUUUAACAAACAACAGCAAAGCACAACACACUUUAUACCCGAAAAUGAAACAGAGAGAAAGAAAAGGAGCCAAUUCAAUUUUCAAAGGACAAUAUAACACGGCUAGUCUACGCUUCACCAACACCUAGUUCUCAAAUAUUCAUAUGAAAAACUAUAAAUAUUCAGCCGAACUCUUUAAUCAUGAGACACACACCUUUUCUAUGACAGCAAAUCCUUCAAGAAAAUGGUCCCAAAAAAAUGAUUCACCAACAUUAAUAAUGAAAACUCAAGCACUCAUACAAUUCAAUUCCAAAAACACUAAAAUAAGAAAGCACCUAAAUAAUCAAAAACCCAGAUUUCUUACUACCCACAACAGUAAAUCAGACUCAUAAUGCAACCAAUCAGUGCCAUCAAACAAAGCCCCCCAAAAAAAAGGUAAAAACUUGAAACCAAGAAAAGGGUAAAAAUUUCUUACUCAGAAACCCUAAUCAAAGCCACAAAAUUCACACAACCGCAAACCCUAAAAGCUCGAAACCGGAGCUCCAGUCGGACCAGACCCAAAAACAAGAGUGACCAUGUUCACCGAUCGUCUUGUUCUGACAAAAAGACACAGACCCUUUGAAAUUGUCGACCGGAAAAGCAAAACCCACCGAUCAAAUCCCUCAAUCGCCAAGAAAGACUCGAGCUUUCUCGGCAAAGAUUGCUUUUUUAUCUGUGCAAGAAAACUGAGAGGGAAAAAGGAGCAAUCUUUGAGGGCUUGGAUUAUGAAAUGGGUCUUUGGCUGGACAACAGAAGCGGGUAGAGAGAGAGAGAGUGUUGUAGAGAGAGAAAGAGAGAGGUUUGAAAAUUCGAAAGCUGGUUGGAGACAAAGUUUAUAUCAGACUGACUUGGUGCUGAGAAAAGGAGAGAGAGAUGGGAGCAGAAUCCCGUGGAAUAUCUUGUCGUUACCUGUGCUCUCUUAAUGUGGUUUCCUGGUAGGACAUUUUUGCCCUUCGUGGCGAGUCCGGUAAAACCGAAAAUCGAAAAACUAAUGGACUUAGAACCGGACUUAAUCGUACUAAAACUUGACAUAUUUUCGUUUGUUCAAAUCGAACCGAGCUCAUCUGAACUCGACUUGGCUCUAAUUUUUGAAAACGAAUCGUUUUAGAUAUAUGUCACGAUCUUUCUAAAAUUCGAUUAAAUAUGUCGGUAAACUCUAGAAAAAAAAAAAUUAGAGUUCUAGUAAUAUCGUGUUAUUACGUGAUCUAUAUAUAAGUUUUCUUACUAUAUCUAUUGUUGUAGCAUUACAAACAUUAUAUACCUAAAACAAAUCGAAGAAUAUAUUGGCCGUCAUAUUUGAAGAUACGGUUGCUCGAUGCAAUAAGUGACACCACUCGAUAGCUACUAGCUCACUAAAUCGAGAACCUAGAAAACAAUGGUUCCCAAAACCAAAUCAAAUGACAAAAACUCAAAAUUUUGAGCUCAAAAUAAUGAACUAAACUAUUGUACCUUGCAGACCAUUUUGCCCAUCUUGAAAGAAGUACAAUGGUUUGAAGCAACCGAUGAUGGGAGCAUUGUACAAGUGGCACCGUCCAAAAGAGAAAGAGACGGCUUUAGUUGGCUUGUGAAAAUGGGAUUGUGGAUAGGCCUUUUGCAGUUUUGCCUUUUAGUUGUUUUCUUUCUAGUUCAUCUGCUCAAAUGUCACACCAUUAUUUAGUCUUUUUUCUCAUAUGAUGUGGAUGUGGGGUUUUGGAUAAAUAUCUUAUUUGUGGUUGACCUGAAAAUUGACUAGCAUCAUGGGCAUGCAUAUUCAAGGGACUUUCAGCGUUAGAGCAAUAGAAAUUAAUCUUUUGCUGAAUUUCGAUAAAAUUGAAAUGUUUUUAACUAUAUGUUGCAACACAAUAUAUAGUCACUUUGAUCGAUUCGUGAUUUGAACGCGGGUUGGGUAAGAUUGUGUUUUUUUUUUUUUUUUGAAAGGCAUUGUGAUUGUAUGUACUUAUUUAUAACCUAAUUAAAUUCAGACAUUAAUAAGGAUAACCAUAUUGGUCCAACAUGACUGAUGUAACUGUCCAAAAAUCAUAUUAUUAGUUAAGACAUGAAAUAAAUUCCAAGAAAAUAAUUCCAACACGUCCAGAUAUUAGUUGUGGGCAACUACUAAAGGUAACGGAAAGAAGAACAAUUUAAUUGGGCCAACAAGAAGAGGCGUCAUUUUCAUUUCAAAAGAAAAAAAAAAACAACAGCAGCUAAGGGCUUUAUGAACGCAUGGGCUGUUUUGGGGUAAAACUAACUAGGUAGAUUUUUUACCUUUGAGUAUGGACGUGGUUCAGCUUUCACCAGCACGGGCGAACAUGUUUAUACCAAUGCAAAUGAGCAAUGUAUUCAACUAUUCAUACAACAAACGAAAUUAUGAUGUUGUUAUUCAAAUUUACCCGUGAUCUUAUUUCGUGAUAAAAUUUAUUUCCGAGCCUCCUAAACAAGUAAACGUCAUAUAACAAUGAGUCUUGUGUAUGUUUGGCGAAAACAUAUAAUGGGAAUUGUGGUUAAAUUCAUCUAAUACAACUGCUCCUACAAUUAACUUAUUUUUCUCUAGUGACACACUACCACAUAUGGUUUGAACUUUGAAGGGUCGAUGGCAUAGGGUUUAGCACUUUAGGCCUUUAGGGCUUCUUGUGGAGUUGUUUGUGAUGGUGUAUCCUGCUUCGGCCCAUAUUCCUUUUUGGGUUGGCAUUUAUUACCUCGGUCCAUAUCUUCUUUGGUUACAUGUAUUUGCUUUUGGCCCAUAUAUUUUUACUUGCCCAAAUCAAAUUUUUGGAGGCCCAAAAUUUUGACACACCCAAAUCGAAUCUAUAACUGAAGCUUCUUUUUUUUCUUUUUUUCUUUUUUUGGGUCUGAUAUCACUCUGAAAGUCUGAAGCUUUCACAAAGCGGUUAGAGUCGACACGUUGGCUGCUGACGUGACACGUGGACGGUUUUCUAUAUUCUUAUGAUAAGAACUGGAGCCCUAGGCCCUAGCUACAUAACACGUACGUAACUACGUACUCCCUCGACUUUCAGUAAGCUUCAACAAAAAUGGCAAGCAUCAAAGAAGAAAACAACCUCCACCACGGGGCACCAUCAGAAGGGUUAGAGCGAGCAAACGGACCACCUGAAGUGGUGGCAGAAGUUACCGGCGGGCUGUUGCAGUCGCAGCGCGAUCGAUUUUGUGAGACAACAGAGCAUAGAGUGGGGAAUGAUAGCGAUGAUGGCUCGGCUGAUGUUGCCGACUGUUGCGGUUCGAGCCAGCAAGCAGACCACUUCAAAUGUGUCCACGCGGUCACUGAGCGAUCCAAAUGAAUCAAAUGAUCGAUGGCCUAUAUAUGAGGGUGAUCGAGGGUGAGAUAUUUAGCUCGAUGUGGUGUUGCUAGCUCAUCCCACAUAUACAUGUCUUUGUUAUUCACUUAUUUGUAUGUUCUUUUGUGUUCGAUAUCUUUUGGUUCGAGUCUUAAUUUCCAGCCCUACUAUACGACAUACGUGUUGUAGUUGUAUGAGAUAUGUACCCACCAAGAUGUUAAUUUACUGUACUUUCUUACCAAAUUAUACGUUGUACCAUAAGUUCUUGAUCAUUGACUCCUUGUAUAUCAAAGUUCCAAAUAAUUGAAAGUAUGAAAAUUAACAUGGUCCUGCAUAUCCAUCUUUCAUUAUCGAUAUGAUUUGUGUUUUGACUAAUAUUUAUUAGGUAUCAAUACGAAUACGACUCAUGUUUUGAGAUUAUUUGAGUGUCUUAAUGUUUUAAGAUUAUUUGAGUGUUCAGACAUAAGAUAUACAAUUCGGGUUCUAAUUAACAUAAGAUAUUAUUUGUGUUUUACAACUACUGGUAGUAAGAUGUUAUUUUCUAUAAUUGAAAUAGUUUAGGUGUUCGGUUAUAUAUAAAAUAUACCAACGUGAAGUGUUAUUUAUAAUUACGGUAUUACCGGUACAAUUCGUAUUAAACAUUGGGACAUAAAUCGAGUUAUAUGGAGUAGUAGCUUGCCAGGGUUUGGUUUUGAAGACAUAUGUAUGUGAUUUUGCAGUGUGUUUGAACAUAAUAGUCGAUCUGGUGCUUUCCGGCAUCUUGAAGUUGUGACCGGUACCGGACGGUCUUCUCUAACUUUGAAAGUUUGAAUGAUAGAUGACAGAGGAGACAAAAACUAUACCCUCUCGAUCAGAGCUAGGGUCCCCACUCCAUAUCAGGCUUAUCAGCCGCUUAUGACGUCGGGAUUAAAAUCCUUGGCUGGCCAGAUCGAGAACUGACUUUGACCACCUCGUCGGUUUGUAUUUUUGUCCCGAAACGGAUUAGAAUAUAGUUGCCGGUCGGAAUCAUGCUCUUUGUUGUGAUCUACUGUCGACUUGAUUAUUAAGAGUCACCUUCAUUCGCAUGGACAUAUUCGCUUUGGCCCGACCAACAUAUAUGCGCCACUAGAAACAGUAUGAUUGGCUUUGCCAUAGAAAAAAAAAAAUAUUUGAUCAGAUCUCGAAUUCUCCAUCCCAUUUAAAAUUUGUAAUACACUACUCGGGUCAUAUAGUCUAUGUUCGUGAUGUUUUCUACUACAAGAUUAUCAUCACGUAAGAUAUAACACUAAUUAUCAGAUGUAAAAGUUAAAAGAGUUAUAAAGAAAAACAUUUUAGACAACUCAAGAUUAGCAACAAAGUCUUAGACGUCGAAGCUACCGAGUAUUCAUCUUGCCACACACGACUUUUAAGGAGUUGGCCGGUGACCUUCAUGUGCAAAAACGCAUGUCGCAAAGUUUGUCUCUGUAUAGACCUGGUUUUCUCACCCGUGUUACGGAAAUCAUUUUUGCUGUCUGUCACUAGGGUACAAUGGGCGGUGAGUUUUGAUGAUACAUGCUAGAGGUUGUAUUCGAUGUUGCAUAUGCAAUAUUUCUUCAACGUACAAAGAUACCUUAACCGGAAAACGUCAUACAGUUACUCGAAAUUAUAGCUUUCCUUUCUCAUUUCUUACCAUAUUGUCUUUCUCUUUCUGAACAAGACCAAGGAAUCAUGUGGAGGUGCUGUAACCUCUGGCUACCUGAUCUACACGACACCUUACAUUCUUGAAGUAACUCUGAUCGUUAGUAGGCCGCCAUUAUAAAUAUAUAUCCAGUUAUCCAUAAUCCAUUGUUUAUUAAUUCAGUGGAGGUACGUUGUUGGAUGUGUAGUUAUGCUUGGUUUGACACAGGACAACAUAUUAGCCUCUACUUUCGUUUUCUGCCUCUACCUUCGUUUAUAUAUGUGUAGCUACACAUACACAGUGAGAGAGAGGGAGAGAGAGAGAGAUGGGGAAGAAGGAAGGUGGAGAAGGAGAAGAGGGUAGUACUACUACUCUUCCUUUGUUUGAGAGCAAAGCAGCGAGAUAUAGAGGUGCUUAUAGGGCUUUUGCAGCAACUAUAUUUGUGGGUGUGUGUUUGAUAUGGGUGUACAGACUAGUAAACAUCCCAAAAGCUGGAGAGAGAGGAAGAUGGGCUUGGAUCGGUAUGAUCAUAGCCGACGUCUUGUUCGGUCUGUACUGGAUCACCACUCAGUCUGUUCGCUGGACUGUCACUUAUCGUCAACCUCUCAAGAACAGACUCUCACAGAGGUUUACUAGCUUCUUAUAUAUAUUGAUCUUCUAGUUCAUACAUACGAAUGGUAGUGUAAAACAGUAACCAGUAUUAGAAAGGAUUUGUCUGAAAGAAAAGAAGAACAAGUUAAGUUUGCAUUCGUAUAGAGAAGUGACAUUUCUGUGUGAAGUAUGCUUAAAAUUUCAAAAUUUACCUGAGACUUUGAGUUGCUUACUUUGGGUUUAUAGAAAUCUUUGUUUGUGUUAUGCAGAUAUGAGGACAAGUUACCAGGUGUUGAUGUGUUUAUAUGCACUGCAGACCCGAAAAUGGAGCCGCCAAGUUUAGUGAUUAACACUGUGUUAUCAGUUCUGUCCUGCAAUUUCCCAUCUGAGAAGUUGAGCGUUUAUCUUUCUGAUGAUGGCGGUUCUGAGAUUACUUUCUAUGCUCUUUUGGAGGCGUCUCGGUUCUCGAAGUAUUGGAUACCCUUUUGCAAGAAGUUCAAGGUUGAACCGAGGGCACCGGAGGCCUACUUUGCCCUGCAUUCUGAUGUUCAUGACAUCAAGUAUGGUCAAGAAUGGCUUGACAUGAAGGUCAGUACUGUCAUCUGUGAAACUAGAAGAACAAGGUUAAUGUUUUCACUUCUUUGAUUUUGUUGAAAGAAUGACUAAUUGAUUCACAUUUGUAUGAUGUUGAAGAAACUUUAUGAUGAAAUGAAAAAUCGGAUCGAUUCUGUUGUUGAAAGUGGCAAGAUACCAGAAGAAACAAGGAUUCAACACAAAGGGUUCUCAGAAUGGAACCUUAAGGUAGCAAAGAAUGAUCAUCACUCAAUUGUGCAGGUAUAAAAUUCUUGAAUGAAUUGAUCUUAAUUUGUCAGUUUUUGUCAGUCCUGUAUUUGUUUCAUUGCUCUGCCUCUGAUUUCUGUUGAAGAUUAUAAGUGAUGGAAGAGAUACAAAUGCCGUGGACAAUGAUGGAUGCCGAUUACCAACCAUCGUGUACAUGUCAAGAGAGAAGAGACCCCAACAGCCACACAACUUCAAAGCUGGAGCCAUGAAUGCACUGGUUAGCUUUAGCUUUCUUUGCUUAUUCCAAGUGUCAAGUGGUUUUAACUUGAAAUUUGCAAGUAACAUGUAACUGAAAAGGCAAUUUCCUUUCUAUAGUUGAGAGUAUCAUCACAGAUGAGCAACGCGCCCUUUAUUCUCAACUUGGACUGUGACAUGUACGCAAACAACGCAGCCGCAAUACGAGAGGCACUCUGCUUCUUCCUUGAUGAAAAGACUGGCCACGAGACAGCUUAUGUGCAACAUCCGCAGAACAACAACAAUUUGACCAAGAAUGAUAUCUAUGGAAAUGCUUGCUAUGUAACUAAUGCGGUGAGUUAUGUAGACCAUGGCUCUAACUGCCUAUUUCCUUUCAAGUUAGGACUAAUAAAAGUAAGCUGAAGAUCUUGCACUUAAACUAACAAAUUCUGAUUUAUGGAACAAGAUUGAACUGGCCGCUUUAGGUGGAUAUGGAGCGGCCUUGUAUUGUGGCACUGGAUGUUUCCAUCGAAGAGAGUGUCUUUGUGGGAAGAAGUAUUCAAAGGGUUAUAGAGAAAAAUGGGACAUUGAGGACCAGAAGAAUACUAUUGAUAAAAGUAUCCUAGAACUGGAAGAAUCUGCAAAACCACUUAUCGAUUGUAGCUACGAAAAGGGCAGUCAAUGGGGAAAAGAGGUCUCUUUCUCUGUUUCUCUCUUUUCUGUCACAAAUUCUAAACGUAAUGACUAAUGAUGAAAUAUUUGUUAUGGCUACAGAUGGGACUGAUCUAUGGAUGCCCUGUCGAAGAUAUUGUUACUGGUUUGGCAAUACAAUGCAGGGGUUGGAAAUCAGUUUAUUACAAUCCAGAAAGGCCUUCCUUUGUUGGUGUUGCUCCAAACACCCUAGAGAUAGCACUUGUUCAACAGAAGAGGUGGUCUGAGGGAAUGUUUCAGGUAUUUUUCUCCAAGUAUUGCCCUUUCAUAUAUGGACAUGGGAAGAUACACUUUGGUGCCCAAAUGGGAUACUGCAUCUACCUUCUAUGGGCUCCAGUUUCAUUCCCAACUAUGUAUUAUGCAAUUGUUCCUCCUCUUUGCUUGCUACAUGGCAUUCCCUUGUUCCCCAAGGUACCUCUUCUCACUCUUUUAUCUUGAUGAACAUAAGAUUUGUUUAGCCAAUUGAGCAUCAGAAUUUAAGGGCGGAUUCUAACAUGAAACAGUAAUGCAAAAUGAAUUUAAGCCAAUUCAACACUAGCUGUGGUGUUUAAAAUGGGAAAUUUUAAUUUAUCUUUCAGGUUUCAAGCCUAUGGUUUCUAGCAUUUGCUUAUGUUUUUGUAGCAAAGAAUGCAUACAGCAUAGUUGAAUUUGUGAUGUGUGGGGGUAAACUGCAAGCAUGGUGGAACUUACAAAGAAUGUGGCUGAUCCGGCGAAUUACUUCUUACUUCUUUGCCUUCUUCGACACCAUAAAGACACAAUUAGGGCUAUCUGAAACACACUUUGCCCUCACCGAUAAGGUUGUCACCGAGGAUGUGUUAAAGAGGUACGAGCAAGAGAUUAUGGAGUUUGGAAGCUCAAGCAUUAUGUACACUGUAUUGACAACAACGGCAUUGCUGAGCUUGGUAAGCUUAGUUUGGGGGACAAAGAGGGUUGUGAUGGAUUUAGAGUUGAAGGCCUUAGACCAGUUCAUCAGUCAAGUUAUUCUUUGUGGCAUAUUGGUUUUGAUCAAUGUACCAGUGUAUGAAGCUCUCUUCUUUCGCAGUGAUAAGGGCCACAUACCAUCCUCUGUCAUGUACAAAUCUGUUUUUGUGCUCUCAUUGGCAUGCUUGAUGCCUAUAUAGUAGGAAAGCUUGCGCAAAGAUUGAAUAAUAAUCAUGGUGCAAAUGAGCAUUCCCCUUUCGGGUAAUAUCCUUAAUAUUCCUAGACUAUUUUUUAUUUUAUUAUUUUGUUCAAAGAAUUGAACAUUUCGAAGAUUAACUUUUGAGUCCUUGUUUUAGUUCAACCUCGAUCAUUUCGCAGUUCCUAGCUCCUCAAAAUUUAGACCGUAAAUUUAUUCUUAGAGCAUGUUAUAUUUAGGUUGAAUCGAACUUCAAAAGACAAAUCUGGCAACUCUAUUUGAGUUUGAUUAAAAGAAGUUUGAUAUUUGAUUUGGAGGAAAAAUGUAGGACUUUUGAAGAUACCCAAACGGUCUAAUUUAUUUCAACCUCUAUUUUUUUUUUUAGAGAAUUGAAAUUUACAUUCCUAUUUUUACAAUCCACACUCAUUUCAUUCCGUUUUUUAGUAACUUAAGUAUUGUCUUUAGUAUGUGUUUUGUCUUAUAUAAAAACUUUAUACUAAAAAAAAGAAAAGAAUAGUGUGGAUUGUAAAAGAAUGAGUGCAAAUUUAAUUUUUCUUUAUUUUUUUAAUUUUUAUAUAUACAUUUAGGUAAAGAACCCUAUUGUGUUUUUAGGCUAAAUAAUAUCACCAUGAAGUGAUGAACUAUAGCAGUGUGGUAACUGGUAGUUGAUGCAUGUAUCAAUCAACCAAACCAAGCAAAAUAGGCAAACUGGUUGCCUGGUUGGUUAUGGCCGGAAACAGAACGCAAUCAAAGGUGAUGCAUGGAUGAUAUCAUAGAGAGCUAAGUCGAUCAAACCUUGUGGGCAGUUGACAACCAGAUCAAAUUGAUUUCAUAAGGGAUGACAAUUAUAGAACCCCUUUUGGAAUAAACUUUCAAAUAUUGAAUAUUCAAACCAAUAAAGCAGAAAUGGACAAAAUGCAAGAGUGCUACCUGAGUUUGAUUCAGACAUACACUAAAAUAGUUUAAUGUAAUUAUUAAUAUAUUUCUCAGAUAUGAUAAAGAUAUAGCAGCCAUAAAAGAACAAAGAAGAUGAAAAGAUUCCUUACUGAACCAUGCCAAAUGUCAUUGUCAUUGACAUAUAUGCUCAAACAAGUAUAUAUAUGAUAUAUGUCCCUGAGAUAAAAACAGAAAAGCUGAGAAAGACAGAACAGAGAGAUCUGAAUUGGAUAGAUAUGGGAGAGGGAGGGAUCAAUUCACCAUUGUUUGAGACGAAGAGGGCCGAGGGUAUAGUUCUGUAUAGGCUUUUUGCUGCGUCUAUUUUCGUGGGUAUAUGUUUGAUUUGGGUUUACAGAGUGAGUCACAUACCAAAAGCUGGAGAAGAUGGAAGGUUUGGUUGGAUGGGUCUGCUGGCUGCUGAGUUAUGGUUCGGGUUUUACUGGCUCCUCACUCAAGUCUCUCGGUGGAACCGCGUGUAUCGGCACACCUUCAAGGACAGGCUCUCGCAGAGGUACGUUUAGCAAUCAUGUCGAUGUUAUAAUUAGGAAAAGUGUUAGAAUGUACUUUUAGGCAUAUCAAUGACACUAUAUGUAAUGAGAUUGCAAAUCAGUUUCAUAAGUUGGGGUACGUAGUAAUACUAUGAAUGCUAUAAAUUGGUUCUCAUUCUCUGGAACAGAUAUGAGGAAGAGUUGCCGGGAGUGGACAUAUUCGUGUGCACGGCGGAUCCAACUAUAGAGCCGCCGAUAAUGGUUAUAAACACUGUUUUAUCAGUAAUGGCUUAUGAUUACCCACCGGAGAAGCUCAGUGUGUACCUGUCCGAUGAUGGUGGAUCGGAACUUACAUGCUAUGCUCUAUUGAAAGCUGCGGAGUUUGCUAAGCAUUGGAUACCAUAUUGCAAGAAGUACAAUGUGGAGCCAAGGUCACCUGCAGCUUAUUUUGCCUCACAGGCUUCUGAUAAUGCAGGGGAUCUCACUCUCAUCAAGGUACUAAUUGUUAAUAAGUCGUUGACUCCUUAUAAUGGGGUCUAAAUCAGAGUUGGUCAUAUAUAUCAUGCUGCGAGAUUCCAAUGUCCCAAUUUCGAAAGGAUAAGAUAAACAUAGUGUCCACAGUUUAAAAGUCAACAAUUAUUUGCUUUUAUUUAUUUUUAUUAUUUCAAUCAAAACAAUUAUUUCUUUUUGAAAAUGGGAUGGGUUUUGGACAAAGAAAAGACUAAUGUUAGACAAACCAUUUAUUUACGGGAAAUUUUUACUAUAUUAUAUGGUAUAACAUGCAUUUAAAAUGUGAACCAUCAGAUCGUCUUAAUUUUUAAAAUGCUAAACGAUUCGACGGUUCACAGCUAAGAUGCAUGCUAUACCAUACGAUACAGCAGCCAAACCCCUAUUUAUGUGUCUCACCACUCUCACCUACCUUGUGCUGAUGUUUCACAUGCAUGCACGUCAUAUGCUAUGAUUAUUUUUUUGAAAAAUAAAUAAAUAAUUUGAUCACCAUCCAGCGUAUUGUAGUGAAAGUUGUCAAAUCUGCCAUAUAUGCUACCACAUGUACAUGUGGUAACCAAGAAAUUAAUGAUUACUUAAAGAAUUAAUUAUCAAUUCCAAUACUUCAUGAAAUAUUGAAAUUGAUAUGAACUAUAGAGUUAUUUAAACGUUUGUCAGUGAAAAAAGUACUUGAUCAUUUUUUUUUUCUUUUAAAAACUUUUUAAUAAUAACUCACACACCCUAUAUAUGUCGUGAGGUUUGAACCCAUCACUUGAGAAAGUAUAUAACUAGUCAACCUUCACAUUGGUAAGAACUUAAAUGUAGAAGCUUCAUACCCAAGUUCAAAUUCCACCGACAAUGAUUGGAGUUCAAUUUCAAUAUAUUUUUGAUGGUUAAGGAGAAAAAAACGUUUUUACAUGUGCCCCCAUCACUGAUGAGUCUUUGAACCUAGAAAGCCUUUGAUUAAGCCAUGUGAUUUCAAUAGAAAAAAAGAGUAUAUAUAAGUAGUCAAAUUGAUAGACCAAUUGGUAACAUUUGAAGAAUGCAUGUGUUUAUAACUGUGAUAUGUUUGCUUAUGAUUGCCUUCCUAUUGGUAACAUAUGAUUGCUUAUGUUUAUAACAGAGAUUAUACAAAGACAUGGAGAAUAAAAUCGAAAGUGCAGUGAAGUUAGGCAGCAUUUCUGAAGAAGUACGAUCAAAACACAAAUGCUUUUCUCAGUGGAAUGCGUAUUUAUCUCCACGAGACCAUGACACCAUUCUACAAGUAUGGAUCUAUAUCUCAAUUUACUGAUCAUCAUAAGUCAAAUAAUUUAGAGAAUCAACUUGAUAACAUUAGCUAGAUAUUUACUCCAAUGUAGAUCGUAAUUGAUGGGAGAGACCCAAAUGCCAGAGAUGUUGAAGGGUGUGGAUUGCCAACCUUAGUGUAUUUGGCUCGCGAAAAGAGACCUCAACAUCACCAUAACUUCAAAGCUGGUUCUAUGAAUGCACUGGUAUGCUGCACAUCUCUUGAUAGAAUUCUGUUAGAUAGAGGAGUCUUUGAUAUAACAAUAAUUUUCAUCGUUCAUUGUUUGUUAUGGUGAUCCUUAACUUGUGCAGAUUAGAGUAUCUUCAAACAUUAGCAAUGGGAAGGUUAUUCUUAACGUAGACUGUGACAUGUAUUCAAACAACUCCACGGCCAUAAGGGAUGCACUCUGCUUCUUAAUGGAUGAAGAGAAAGGCCAUGAGAUUGCAUUCGUACAGUUCCCACAGAAUUUUGAAAACGUUACCAAGAAUGACCUAUAUAGUAGUUCACUACGAGUAAUCAGUGAGGUAUGCAUUUGUUUGCAGUCAUUAAUGAAUGAUGCUAUAGUUAACUGAACUUAUUUAAUUUAACUAUGCUGAAAAAUUUGGAUCUCUUUGUUUUGGGUAUCAACUGAAGGUGGAAUUUCAUGGUUUGGAUGGUUAUGGUGGUCCUUUAUACGUUGGAAGUGGAUGCGUUCACAGAAGAGAUACUCUAUGUGGGAGAAAGUUCAGCAAAGGAUGUAAGAGUGAAAUGAAGUGGGAGAAUAGGAAAGGAGAAGAAACAAGCAUUCCUAAAUUGGAAGAAAGUUCAAAAAGACUAGCAAGUUGUACAUUUGAAGUGAACACUCAAUGGGGAAAAGAGGUCUUCUGUUCUCUUUCUCGUUGUCACACGCACACACAUUAUCAAGUGCAUAAUAAGUUGACAUUUGAGCCUGAUCAGUUCUUAUAAUUUGCAGAUGGGUUUGAAAUAUGGGUGUCCGGUUGAAGAUGUGAUUACGGGGUUAUCUAUCCAAUGCCGCGGAUGGAAAUCUGUGUACUGCAAUCCAACAAGGAAAGCUUUUCUAGGAGUAGCUCCAACUACACUGCCUCAAACACUUGUGCAGCACAAGAGAUGGUCAGAAGGUGAUUUUCAGAUUUUGGUUUCUAAGUACAGCCCUGCAUUGUAUGGGCAUGGAAAGAUAAGUUUAGGCCUUCAACUUGGUUAUUGCUGCUACUGCUUGUGGGCACCAAACUGCUUGGCAACACUAUUUUACACUAUUCUCCCUUCACUUUACCUUCUCAAAGGCAUUUCAGUAUUCCCACAGGUAAUGGGAGAUCCUCGAUCUGUCAAUUCUUUCUAAUUUGUCACAAUGAAACGAGAUAGAGAUUACUAUAUGUAAUAAUGGGGUUUUGUUUUGUGGAAUUAGAUCACAAGUCCCUGGUUCAUACCAUUUGCGUAUGUGAUAAUUGCCAAGUACACUUGGAGCUUUGGGGAGUUCAUGUGGUCUGGUGGCACAAUGUUGGGAUGGUGGAAUGACCAAAGAAUAUGGCUAUACAAAAGAACAAGCUCCUACCUAUUUGCCUUUAUCGAUACGAUUCUGCACUAUCUGGGUUACUCGGAUUCAGGCUUUGUAAUAACAGCCAAGGUGGCCGAUGAAGAUGUGUCACAAAGGUACGAGAAAGAGAUUAUGGAAUUUGGAGCCUCUUCUCCAAUGUUCGUCAUAUUAGCAACAGUUGCAUUGCUCAAUUUGUACUGCCUUGCUGGGUUUCUUAAGGAAGCAAUCGCUAGAAAUGGCACUGUUGGAGUUUACGAGACGAUGGCUUUGCAAAUUCUUCUAUGUGGUGUUUUGAUUGUCAUCAACCUGCCUUUGUAUGAAGCUCUUUGCUUGAGGAAGGACAAUGGAAAAAUGCCGAGUUCUGUGGUAUUUAAAUCGAUGGCGUUUGUUGCAUUAUCUUGUGUAUGUAGUAAACUUCUUAAUAAUUAGAAAGAAAAAACAAUCCUUGCUAAAUAAUCAUAAAACGAUCUAUAUUAUUCAAUCUUUCUCACUCUUGCAUAUAUUGUGUGUCACAAUAAGUUCAUCAUAAGUCGAAUUUCCAUUUUCUAGUUUGUUCUGAGUUGCUCUCUAUGUUCUAUCAAUUAUCAAAGUUAAUUAAUUGAUAUGCAUAUGCAUGUAGCUAGAUUUGCUGAUUUAGCUUCUUUUCUACUUAUUUGCUUCACAACAUCUACAAAAUAUAUAAUUGAAGUAAAUGACUCGAAAAAAUAUUGAACCAGCUAAAAAAAAAAAAUUAUAAUUUUACAUUUGUGCUAAUUGUAGAACUUUCUAGAAAUUAUACUAGGACUGAGAAGCGGCUCUAGCUUGUGUCUUAUAACGGGUCUCAAAUCGAGCCAAUAUAUCUACAUUCUUAGUAUAAAGCAUGAGAAGCAUCUCACAUAGCUUUAAUAUAGAACCUUGAAACAUAUACAAGCAAAUCCAGCAAAUGCCAUCGACUUAAAUGCCACAGAGCUCGGCAGCUUGCCCUUGUCCUUCCUUAGGUAUAGGGCUCCGUAUAACGGUAGGUUAAUGGCAAUGAAAACCACACAUAGAAGAAUCUGCAAGCACAUUGUCUCAUAAACGUCUGCAAAACCAUUCAUUCCAGUAAUUGCUGCCUUCACAACCCAAGCAAAGCAGUACAGAUUGAGCAAUGCAAGUGUUGCCAGCACUGUAAACAUCGGAGACGAGCUCCCGAAUUCCAUGAUCUCUUUCUCAUAUCGUUCGGACACGUCUUCAUCGGCAACUUUGGCUGUUAUUACAAAUGCUGAAUUGCUGUAUCCGAGGUAGUGUACAAUAGUGUCGAUGAAGGCAAAUAGGUAUGAGGAUGUUCUCUGGUAAAGCCAUAUACGUUGGUCGUUCCACCAACCUAAGCUCGUGCCUCCACACCACCGAUACUCCACGAAGCUCCCAAUGUUCUUAGCAAUUAUCACAUAUGCAAAUGGUAUGAUCCAUCUGCUGGAAAUCUAAUCCGACAAGAAAAAAAAUCCAUAUUAAAGCCGUACGUUAAAGAUAACGCAUGCAUGAAAAGUUACUAGUAACAUGUAAUUUUGUGAGAUGAACUAUACCUGGGGAAAUAAGGACGUGCCUCUAAGAAGGUAAAGUGAAGGAAGGGUGGCGUAUAUUACUGUUGCCCAGCAAUUAGCAGCCCAUAAAUUGUAGCGAAGGUAUCCCAGUUUAUGGCCUAAACUAAGCUUUCUAUGGCCACACCAUACAACAUUGUCCUUAGAAAGCGUAAUCUGAAGGUUGCCUUCCCCCCAUCUCUUAUGCAUCACAAGUGCCUGAAGCAAGGUGGUAGGAGCUAAUCCUAAGAAAGCUUUCCUUGUUGGAUUGUAAUUCACUGAUUUCCAUCCUCGGCAUUGGAUUGAUAGUCCUGUUAUCACAUCCUCAACUGUACACCCAUAUUUCAAACCCAUCUGCAGAUUAUAAAGAUUUUGUCUCAACUUAAAACGAGUAUAUAUUCCUAAAUACACAUUAAAUUUUAAAUGGGAAUUUUCUUGGAAUAUAAAAACAUACAUGAGUUAUAAGUGAAAAUGAACACACACACACACACAGAUAUAUAUAGUAUAUAUAUAUAUAUAUAUAUAUAUAUAUAUAUAUAUAUGAGAAUACCUCUUUUCCCCAUUGUGUGUUCUCCUCAAAUGUACAACUCGCAAGUCUCUUUGAACUUUGUUCUAAUUCAUGAAUGCCAAAGUACUCUCUUUUGUUACCAUCCCAUUUCAUCUCACUCUUAUUCACCUUGCUGAAUUUCUUCCCAGAAAGAGUGUCUCUUCUGUGAAAACAUCCAGUUCCAAUAUAUAACAUCCCCCAAUAAGCAUCCAGACCAUGAAGUUCCACCUUCAUGUAAAUGCCAAAACACAUAUAAUCGCAAAAUUUUGAUUCUAAUAUUUCCAUCAGCCUAUAAUAACAUUGUCUACUCUGUGGUACUCACCUCGGUAAUUACUCGCAAUGAAGCGUAUAAUUCAUUCUUAGUAAGGUUAUCGAAAUUCUGGGGGAACUGUACGUAAGCAAUCUCAUGGCCUUGUUCUUCAUCCAACAAGAAGCAGAGUGCAUCCCUUAUGGCCUUGGAGUUGUUUGAAUACAUGUCACAGUCUACAUUCAGAAUCAACUUUCCAUUGCUAAUAUUUGACGAUACCCUAAUCUGCAAAUUGCGAAGGAUCGCAUCUGUACGUUAUCUAAACCCUAUAGGCACACAGUGAAACUCACACAUAUCUUGUAAAUGUAAUAUGUUGUUUACCAGAGCAUUCAUAGCACCAGCUUUGAAGUUAUGGUGAAUCUGGGGUCUCUUCUCCCGAGCCAAAUACACCAAAGUUGGCAACACACACCCUUCAACAUCUCUUGCAUUUGGGUCUCUCCCGUCAAUUACUAUCUGGGAGAAAAGUUCAUCGACUAAUUUAAACAUCUGGUACUAAUUAAACACCCAGUCAUAUAUAUGAUCACUUAACAUUAAAGAACUCAAAUGGAAAUGUCAUACUUGAAGAAUGGUGUCAUGGUCACGUUUUGAUGAAUAUGAAUCCCACUGAGAAAAGCCUUUAUGUUUUGAUCUUACUUCUUCCGGAAUCCGGCCUAGCUUCACUGCAUUUUCAACUUUUGUUGCCAUGUCCUCGUAUAGUUUCUGCAUCAAUAUUAUUUGGUGACAUGAGAGCUUAAGUAUGUUGUAAGCAUUGUAAGACCAAAAGAAGAAGAAGAACAAAAGUAGUUACAAAUGCAACACAAAAUAAAACAAGAUAUAAUGGAGUAAGAAAUGUUAAUUUCGUGUUCAUUUGGUUGUUACGAAUCCAAUUUUGCCAUGAUGUACACCCAAAAUUUUCCCACCGGCCGGUAAUUUAUAACAGAGGCUUACUGUUUCCAUUUCACUCCGAUCACUAACAGACCCUAUUGGUCAGUCCCUAAUGGCGAAUGGGGAAGAUUGUAGUACCUUUUAAAGGUAGGUCUUUAGGUGGAUAUGCUGGUGGGUUAAAGUUUGGAUCAAGGUGUAUAGUCUAGGCUAGCCAGACGUUUUUGUUACGAGUCAUUGUUCAAUGUGUAGUCGGCGACCGUGCGCACUAAAAAUUGUAACAGGUGAUCUUCAAAUCUCUUGUUUUGACUGAAUGAGGUCGUAUACGAUAUCUUCGACCAAUGGAGUUCAUCCACUCUCAUAAGAAAAAAAAAAAAAAAAAAAAAACAAAAGAUGACAGGCUUGACAACUUCGAGGAUAAUUACUAAGCAACUUCCGGCUACUAAACGACUAGCAUGCAAUAGAUCUAACAUUAAGACAUGUCUAGUGAACAAAAAAUCCAUUCUUACCUACGAUCGAAUAUAUAAAAUUAACAGAAGAGGUUAAGACAUGCCUCACUUGAUCGAUGACCAUAUAUUUCUUUCAAAAUUUCUUAAUCAAUGGUGAACAAAUUAAGAAAAUAUCAACAUCAAGACAUCGCUACUCUUAUGUCCAAGUCUCCAAGACACUUUAAUUGACUCCAUCCAUCAUCAUAUGGAUCCAGAUGAUUCUACUUGGAGCAGUUUACUUGUCGUCUAAAUUGGACAACCUAUGCCAUUUAUGCUCUCCACAAAAAAUCUCUGCUGCGCGCAGGGACCUAAUGGAAAUGUGUAUGUCAUCGCUGACCUAAUUAUCACUUUAAUCUUAACCAUGCAUAAUUGCUGAUUAGAGUUGUUGUUUCUUCGACGUGUAAAUAUACGAUAUCAUAUAGAGGGUCAAAAUCUAUCUACACGACGGUCUCAUUAUAUAAUUCUAGAACUGAGAUGACAUUGUGUACAUACAUGACGUGCAUACAAGAAUUUCCAAUUAAGCAUUAACCAAACAGACUUCUUUUAUUUCUUUACACUUUGAUUAUGGAAGACUUUAUGAUAUGGAUAAAAUCGUAAAAUAAUAAUUACCUUAAUGAGCGCCAAAUCAGCAGCCUUUUUCUGAUUCUGGCUUUCAUCAUCAACUGCAUCAGAAUCUAUCGAGACAAAAUAAGCAAAUGGUGAUCUCGGCUCCACACUGUACUUCUUGCAAUAGGGUAUCCAGUACUUGGCAAACUCAGCAGCUUCCAGAAAAGCAUAGUACGUAAAUUCUGAGCCUCCAUCGUCAGAGAGAUACACGCUGAGCUUCUCCGGCGGAUAGUCAUAAGACAUGACCGAUAGAACAGUGUUCAUCACCAUCAUCGGCGGCUCUAUGAUCGGAUCCGCGGUGCACACGAAUAUGUCCACCCCCGGCAACUCAUUCUCAUAUCUGUUAAGUAACACACGCGAAGUUAAACGAUACGAAGAUCAUCAUUACGAAAGAAGUUAGGUUAGAGCUAGAUUAAGCUAACAGUAUAUAUAACAUGUUAUGUUGUUAAACUAUAGAUACAGAUCAUUCAUAUAUAACAGUGAAUACAGAUACCUUUCAGAGAGUCUGUCCUUGAAGGUAUGCCGGAAGGUGCGGCUCCACCGAAGAGCUUGAGUGAUGACCCAGUAAAAACUGAACCAUAACUCAGCGGCGAACAACAACAUCCAACCAAAUCUUCCAUUUUCUCCAGCUCUUGGUAUAUGAGUCACUCUAUAAGCCCAAAUCAAACAUAUACCAACAGAUACAGACACUGCAGAAAACCUAUAGAAGACUGUUCCCUUUGCCUUCGUUGUCUCAAACAGUGGUAAAUGUCUUUCCUCUCCCAUUUUUGAGCCAACUCUGAUUGCUCAAGCUUUCUUUCUCUAGUGGAGAUGAUUUAAUAUAUAGGGAAGGACCCCGGACCAGGUCUUGCUUUCUAUUAUAAAAACCAAUUAACUUUGAAGCUAAUGCAUGCGUCCCGCGAACGCAACUUUGAUGUAAUGCUACCUUUCACAUCUCUGAUGUGUAUUACAAAACAAACAAGUUACAUGCAUAACUAGCUACUAUGAAAGUAUUGCAGCCAUAUGCACUUGGGUAGUAGUAAGAGUUUGGUGGUCUUUGACCUAUUGCUGAAUAAAAGAUUUCUUUUUUGGUCAGAAAAUAAAAGAUCAUUUACAAGCAGAUGAAACUGUCAUUCCAAUACAAGUUAGCUGAAACUGAAUAUGAUCUUAUCUUACAUUGUGCAUAACUAGUUAAGAAUCGUUCAAUGACAAGUUCGGCCUGAUAUUUUACUUUGUAGUCUGAAUUAUUCCCUCAUCUUUGUCAUAUAUAUUUGAAACAUAAACAAGCAAAUCCAGCAAAUGUCAUCGACUUCAAUGCUACAGAGCUCGGCAGCUUUCCCUUGUCCUUCCUUAGGUAUGGGGCUUCGUACAAGGGUAGGUUAAUGACAAUCAAAACCACACAUAGGAGAAUCUGCAAGCACAUUGUCUCAUAAACUUCUCCAAUACCCUUUUUUCCAGUGAUUGCUACCUUCAAAAACCAAGCAAAGCAGUACAGAUUGAGCAAUGCAAGCGUUGCCAGCACGGUGAACAUUGGAGACGAGCUCCCGAAUUCCAUGAUCUCUUUCUCGUAUCGUUCGGACACGUCUUCAUCGGCAACCUUGGCUGUUAUUACAAAUGCUGAACUGCUGUAUCCGAGGUAGUGUACAAUGGUGUCAAUGAAGGCAAAUAGGUAAGAGGUUGUUCUCUGGUAAAGCCAUAUACGUUGGUCGUUCCACCAACCUAAGCUCGUGCCUCCACACCACCGAUACUCCACAAAGCUCCCAAUGUUCUUAGCAAUUAUAACAUAUGCAAAUGGUAUAAUCCAUCGGCUUGAAAUCUAAUCCGACAAGAAAAAAACCAAUUUUAAGAAAAGCCGUACGUGAAAUAUAUUGCAUGCAUAAGAAGUAAUUAGAAACAUGUAAUUCGUGGGAUGAACUAUACCUGGGGAAAUAAGGAUUUGCCUCUAAGGAGGUAAAGUGAAGGAAGAGUGGAGUAAAUUAGUGUUGCCCAGCAGUUAGCAGCCCAUAAGUUGAAGCGAAGGUAUCCCAGUUGAUGGCCUAAACUAAGCUUUCCAUGGCCAUACCAUAGAACACAGUACUUAGAUAGCGUAAUCUGAAGGUUGCCUUCUGCCCAUCUCUUAUACAUCACAAGUGCCUGAAGCAAUGUGGUUGGAGCUAAUCCUAAGAAAGCUUUCCUUGUUGGAUUGUAAUACACUGAUUUCCAUCCUCGGCAUUGGAUUGAUAGUCCUGUUAUCACAUCUUCAACCGGACACCCAUAUUUCACACCCAUCUACAAAUUAUAAAGAUUUAAUUUGUAUAAAUGAUGUAUAAGUAAAUAUGAACAUAAUAUGUAAGUGUAAUUGAUAGAGAGAAUAUACCUCUUUUCCCCAUUGUGUGUUUUCUUCAAAUGUACAACUCGCAAGACUUUUUGAACUUUGUUCUAAUAUAUGAAUGCCAAUUUCUUCUCUUUUGUUUUUCUCCCAUUUCAUCUCACUCUUAUUUUCCUUGCUGAAUUUCUUCCCACAAAGAGUUUCUCUUCUGUGAAAGCAUCCAGUUCCAAUAUAUAACAUCCCCCAGUAAGUAUCCAGACCAUGACAUUCCACCUUCAUGUAUAUGCCAAAACAAUAACUGAAGUUCAAAUAAUAAGAUAUAAAUUGAAGAAUAAUGCUAAGUGAACCAUAUUAAUUUUGAUUAUAAUAUUUCAAUCUGCAGCAUAUAAUAUGUCCACGAACAUAAUCAACUCACCCUGUUAAUUACUCGCAAUGAAGCGUAUAAUUCAUUCUUAGUAAGGUUAUCGAAAUUCUGCGGAAACUGUACGUAAGCAAUCUCAUGGCCUUGUUCUUCAUCCAUGAAGAAGCAGAGUGCAUCCCUUAUGGCCUUGGAGUUGUUUGCAUACAUGUCACAGUCUACAUUAAGAAGUAACUUCCCAUUGCUAAUAUUUGACGAUACCCUAAUCUGUGAAUGCAAAGGAUCGCAUCUGUUAUCUAAACCCUACAGGUACACACACACACACAUAUAUAUAUCCUGUAAAUUUAGUAUGUUGUUUACCAGAGCAUUCAUAGCACCAGCUUUGAAGUUAUGGUGAAUCUGAGGUCUUUUCUCCCGAGCCAAAUACACCAAAGUUGGCAACGCACACCCUUCAACAUCUCUUGCAUUUGGGUCUCUCCCCUCAAUUACUAUCUGGGAGAAAAGUUCAUCCACUAAUAUUAACAUCUGGUACUAAUUAAACACCCAGUCAUAUAUAUGAUCAGUUAACAUUAAAGAAUUCAAAUGGAAUGUCAUACUUGAAGAAUUGUGUCAUGGUCACGUUUUGAAGAGUACGAGUCCCACUGAGAAAAACGUUUAUGUUUUGAUCUUACUUCUUCCGGAAUCCGGCCUAGCUUCACUGCAUUUUCAACUUUUGUUGCCAUGUCCUCGUAUAGUUUCUGCAUCAAUAUUAUUUGGAGACAUGAGAGCUUAAGUAUGUAUUAAGCAUUAAUGUAAAACCAAAAGAAGAAGAAAAAGAAGUAGUUACAAAUGCAACACAAAAUAAAACAAGAUAUAACGGAGUAAGAAAUGUUUCUUGUUGUUUUGGUUGUUGCACGUACUGCUUAAUCCAAUUUUGCCAUGAUGUACACAGUACACCCAAAAUUUUCCCACCGGUAAUUUAUAACUGAGGCUUACUGUUUCCAUUUCACACCGAUCAUUAACAGUCCCUAUUCUUACCUACGAAUGAGGUCGAGACAUGCCUCGCUUGAUCGAUGACCAUAUAUUUCUUUCAAAAUUUCUUAAUCAAUGGUGAACAAAAAGAAGAAAUCAACCGGGACCUGACAAUACAUCGCUACGCUGAUGUCCAAGUCUCCAAGACACUUUAAUUGACUCCAUCCAUCAUCAUAUGGAUCCUGAUGAUUCUACUUGGAGCAUUCUACUUGUCGUCUAAAUUGGACAACCUAUGCCAUUUAUGCUCUCCACAAAAAAUCUCUGCUGCAGGGACCUAAAGGAAAUGUGUAUGCCUGACCCAAUAUUAAUUAUCGCUUUAAUCUUAACCAUGCAUAAUUAAUUAUCAGAGUCUUUGUCUCUUCGACGUGUAAAUAUACGAUACCAUAUGGAUAUAAUCUAUGACUUUACUACAUAUACAUGAUGGUCUCGUUAUAUAAUUCUAGGACUGAGAUGACAUCAUAUACAUGCACGGCAUACAUACAAGAAUUUCCAAUUAUUAAUCAUUAACCAAACACUUUUGCAUGACUUUACUUAUUUCUUCACAGUUUGAUUAUGGAAGACUUUAUGAUAUGGAUGAAAUCAUAAAAUAAUAAUUACCUUAAUGAGCACCAAAUCAGCAGCUUGUUUCUGAUUCUGGCUUUCACCAUCAACUGCAUCAGAAUCUAUCGAGACAAAAUAAGCAAAUGGUGAUCUCGGCUCCACACUGUACUUCUUGCAAUAGGGUAUCCAGUGCUUGGCAAACUCAGUAGCUUCCAGAAAAGCAUAGUACGUAAAUUCUGAGCCUCCAUCGUCAGAGAGAUACACGCUGAGCUUCUCCGGCGGAUAGUCAUAAGACAUGACCGAUAGAACAGUGUUCAUCACCAUCAUCGGCGGCUCUAUGAUCGGAUCCGCGGUGCACACGAAUAUGUCCACCCCCGGCAACUCAUUCUCAUAUCUGUUUAAGUAAUUUCACUUGAGUUAAAACUACAUGCGAAGUUCACAAUGAAGAACAUCAUCACGAAAGAAGUAAACUUAGAGCUAAAGCUAAUACGAAAACAAUAUAGCAUGUUAUGUUGUUAAACUAUCGAUAUAUAUAUAUAUAUAUAUAUAUAUAUCUUUCGGAGAGCCUGUCCUUGAAGGUAUGCCUGUAGGUGCGGCUCCAACGAAGCGCUUGAGUGAUGAACCAGUAAAAACUGAACCAUAACUCAGCGGCGAACAACAACAUCCAGCCAAAUCUUCCAUCUUCUCCAGCUUUUGGUAUGUGAGUCACUCUAUAAACCCAAAUCAAACAUAUACCAACAGAUACUGACAAUGCAGAAAACCUAUAGAAUACUUUUCCCUUUGCCUUCGUUGUCUCAAACAGUGGUGAAUGUCUUUCCUCUCCCAUUUUUGAGCUAACUAUGAUUGCUCAAUUGCUUUCUUUCUCUAGUUGGAACGAUUUAAUAUAGUGGGAAGGACCCUGGACCAUGGUGCAUGUUGCUUAAUUUCAUUUAUAGAUACCAAUUCCCCCAUCCCUUUGCAACUAAUGCAUGCGCCUCACGAACGUAGUAUUGAUCUCCGUUAGGUGGUGGUCCUUGACCUAUUGCUGAAGAAAACAGUGUUUAGAAGAAGAUGAAUAUCUGUCAUUCCAAUGAAACAUCAGGCUGUUUAGAUCGAAAGGAUUGGUGUCGACCACAUUAAUUCCCAAAUUUUGACAACCUUUCUUUGCUUUUGGAUAUUUUCUUUCGCAGGCUUGAGUAUAUUGUUUGAAUGACGAUUGAGUUUGGACUGUUUGGUGUAAGAGAUUAACUUAUACUUGGACGAGAUGCAUGCAAUGUUGAUUUUAUUCAAGAAUUGUUGUUUGUGAUGUGAGACUGGUGAGAGAGCACACACUUAUGCUAAAAACAUUAUUAGACAACGACGAUUCAUAACUGUUCUUCUGACUGAAAAGCAUAUGUCGUUUGAUGGACGGUGCCGUGUGAUUGAGAUAACUGUAUUUCAUUCAUGAAUAAAGGAUACAAAACUAGAGAGCAAGCUAGAUUAUAUUUUCCAAAUGUUCAUUACAUAAAUUUGAAACAUAAACAAGCAAAUCCAGCAAAUGCCAUGGACCUAAUUGCUACAGAGCUCGGCAGCUUCCCCUUGUCCUUCCUUAGGUAUAGCGCUUCGUAUAACGGUUGGUUAAUGACAAUCAAAACCACACAUAGAAGAAUCUGCAAGAACAUUGCCUCAUAAACUUCUGCAAUGCCCUUUGUUCCAGUGAUUGCUUCCUUCACAAACCAGGCAAAGCAGUAUAAAUUGAGCAAUGCAACGGUCGCUAGCACAACGAACAUUGGAGACGAGCUCCCGAAUUUGCCAGUAUAAAUCUGCAAGCACAUUGUCUCAUAAACUAAAAAUUUUUAGAGCUAAAAGUUUCCUCCUAAUGAUUUACAUACAAAUUAUUUAUAAUUCAUUAAAAAAAAUAAUUAUAUAACAUCCAUGAAUCUAAUGUUACUUUNNNNNNNNNNNNNNNNNNNNCUAUCACGAAUGUCGAGCGAUAAGCUGCCGCAAGGACGGCAUUUGAGUGGGGUCAGUGUGGUUUACGAUGUGGAUGUUAGGCGGCCCGGGGAGUUUCAGCCGCAGCUGGAAGUUAGGUCGACGAUUACGAACUAUGAUCCUCAGCUGGUGUUGGGCCGCCAAAUAGCGGUGAAUAAGUCGUAUAUAUGACUGUGGAUUGAAACAGGGGGAUAUUCGGGUUUUGAAUAACCACACCGGAUUGGAAUGUUUGCUUCGAGCUCAUACACAGGUAAAUUGAUUUUCCUUGUAGUUAUUUACUUUAUCUCGUCGAUGAUUGUUAUAUGUCGUUGGCCUAAUCGAUGUGUUGUUCUGUCAGAGGGUCACAGACAUGGCUUUCUUUGCCGAGGAUGUUCACCUUUUGGCUAGGUAGCUUUUUUGUCCAUGCUUAAUACUUUUCAUCGUCUGGUUUGGUUCUGCAUUAUCUGACAUAAUUUUCUGCAGUGUGAGUGUAGAAGGACGGCGUUUUGUGUGGAAAAUAUCUGAAGGUCUGGAUGAAGGAGGUACGCCACAAAUCAAAGGAAAGAUUGUUAUUGCCAUUCAAAUAGUUGAUGAGGGGGGAGCUGUUCAUCCAAGAGUUUGUUGGCACUGUUCUAAACAAGUAAAUGAUUCUGUUAAUGCUAUUUUCAAUAGAAGAAUUAUAACUUAAUGCUUUUGAUGUCUGUUGGUCUUGAAGUGGUUGAUUGAUUUAUCUUUUGUCUUAUAUACUCGCAGGAGGUUUUGUUUGUUGGGGUUGGGAAGCGUGUUCUACGAAUUGAUACUACUAAAGUUGCAAAGUAUGGAGUCCCUUCUGCUGAGGAUCCUAUCAAAUGUCCUGUUGAAAAACUCAUUGAUGGGGUUCAAUUUGUUGGUGAACAUGAUGGAGAGGUGACAGAUGUAUCAAUGUGCCAAGGGAUGACUACCACCCGGCUGGUUUCUGCUUCCAUGGAUGGAACUGUAAGCUUCUUCCCGUUUUGCUGACUUUGUUUGGUAAACUGCAAUCUUCACCAUUUGCCUUUUCUACAUAUUUCCUUUCGUCAAGUAGUGAAACUUAAGUGCGAUUUUCAUCAGAGUUGGGUGGGAACAUUUGGCCCCUGCUUGCCCUUUUACAUCUAAAUGGAUAGUUUUUUCUCCUUUUCUUUCGGUGAAAUAGGGAUAAUCUUAUGGCUACAAAAAAAUCUGUGUUGGCUAAUCGGCUUCUAUGCUUCAGGGAGUUUGCGAUGAAUUAGGAUAAAUUAUUUGGUCUAGUCCUUCAAAUCCCUUUUAAUGUGGUACAGCACAUGAAAUGGCUAUGGCAGAUAAACUUUUACUUUUCUCAAUUAUAAGGAAAAAGUGAAGAGAAAGUACUGUAAGAGAUUUUAAGAGUGGAAGCUGUUUAACUUUGCAGUGAGUUUGUCAAUUUCUCUAACCUUAGUACAUAGUAUGAUCGAUACUAUUUAGGAAUGGUUCACGCAGUUUCAAAUUAAUUCAUUGGGCCGUCUUCAUCAUGAACAAUACAAAAAUUAUUUCUGAACAGGUUUAAGUAUGUUAUAUUCUCACACAUGCCAUAUAUGCAUGUAUAAUUAUUUCCUAAAUUGUUGAUUGAUAAAAGUUUUCUGAGUCGUAUACUUGGUUGAUACAGAUAAAGAUCUGGGAAGAUCGCAAGUCACAACCACUUAUAGUACUGAGACCCUAUGAUGGCCUUCCUGUUUAUUCGUCUAUAUUUACGACAGCUCCCAACAAACCAGAUCACAUCAUACUUGAAACAGUGGUAAGUGAUCGUUGAUUUAUUUACAUAGUACCAAAAGGUGUUGCCUGUCCUAGUGUGCUGAAGUGUAAUUAUACAGGGUCCACUUAAUCGGGAAGUGAAGAUCUGGUCCUCAGCAACUGAAGUGCUUACCAGUGAUGAUGAGUCAUGGAAAUGUACCCAGACCUUAGAGCUCUGCUCAACCUCGAGUUGAGGAUGCGUUCUUUAAUCAAGUCAUAACAGUGUCACAAGCUGGCCUUCUUUUACUUGCAAAUGCUAAGAAGAAUGCCAUAUAUGCCGUGCACAUAGACUUUGGUGGUGAGCCAGCAGCUACACGCCUACACACAUGGAUUAUAUAGCAGAAUUUACUGUUACAAUGCCUAUUUUGAGCUUUACGGGGACAAGUAUAUCUCCUCAUGGUAAACAAAUCGUUCAGGUUUAUUGUGUCCAGACGCAAGCCAUUCAACAGUAUGCUUUGGACUUAUCGAAGUGCUUACCUCCCCCGUUGGAAAAUACAGAUACAGUUGACAGCAACACUGAGUUGGAAUUACAACGUCAAAUUGACGCCAUGCAGGAUGAGAUGAAUCAGGUGAGUGCUUAAGAAUUUGGAAUUUCAAUUAUCUUGCACAUGUGUAUGGCGCUCCAACUAUUUUCAGCUUAACUUAGUGAAGUAGGUCUAGUAUCUUCUCCAAAAUUAUGCUACUGCCGUUUAAGUCGAUCUUCAAGUUAUUUAUUAUUUGGUGAACUGGUAUAUCAAUAUGAUCUUUCUUGUCCCAUUUCACCAGCCUAUAUCAUGGAAAAGGUUCUCUGUUUGGACGUUUUAUGGAUGUGUUUUGUGUAAUCAAACCUUUUUUUCUUGUCCAUUAUCCUUUCUGUUAACUAUGGCUUUUCAUCAUAUGCGCAGCUGGAGAUUAUGCAAACAAAAUUGCAAACAGAAUUGCAAGAGUGGAAGAAGGCUAGAAAGGACAAUACUGAUGCUCUGCAGGCUCGGGUUAGAGAAGAGAUUUCAAAGAUUGAGAAAUUAUGGCGAGAACGUAUUCAACAAGGAACUGUAGAACGCACGGACUUUCCGGUCUUGUUAGAUAAAAUGGUGAAAAAAGAAAUAGCUGCUCUUGGAUCAGCUAUAGAAACAAAAAUUAUUUUGGCUAUAUCUGAUUGCUUUCAGGUAAGAAUUUAGAUGAUCUGGCCUUUUCUUUGAGGUAUUUGGCUUUAAUUAUCUAAUUGAUGCGUGUGCUGCAGAAAUUGGAGAAAUCAGUCAACUCAAAUCUUGAAGAUACUGUACGCAGUGUGCUGCAGAAAUUGGAGGAAUCAGUCAACUCAAAUAUUGAAGCUACUGUACGCAGCCAAAUCCAGUUGGAUUGUCAAACUCUGGGUAACCAAGCUCGGCAAGGUGAUGGUGCCAGCAUGUCUGAACCACUUGCUCAGCUUCAUUAUGUAGAGGAAGAUCAGGAACAUUCUGGAAAAGAUGUAUCUGGGUCGGCUACUGCCACAACCACGUCGCAACUACAAACACCAAAUGCAAUGUCAAGAAAACAGGAAUGGAAGAAUAUGCAAGCAUCAUGUCCAUCUUCCCCGUCACCAGGUGUGCUCAACUCAGUAGAGUCCUCCAAUGAAGCAGGUGGGAGUUCAAGUCCCCCCUCUGGAGAAGCUGCAGUCCCUCACAUUAUGUCCAUGCAGGCUAUAAUGAAUAAGGUGAGUGCAGUCAAAUUUGGGCAUUUAAUUAUCUUGCACUUGUCUACUCGCACGCGCCAAUUAUUUUCAGCUUAACUUAGUAAAGCAGGCUUAGUAUCUUCUCCAAAAUUAUGCUACUGCCAUUUAAGUCGGUCUUCAAGUCAUUUAUUGGUGAACUGGUAUAUUAAUUACUAUGUUCUUUUGUGUCCCAUUUCACCUGCUUAUAUCAUGCGAAGAGCAAAAGGUUCUAUGUUUGCAUGUGUUGUGGUUGUGUUUGUAAGUGUUUGUGUGUAACCAAACCUUGUUUUCUUGUCCAUUAUCCUUUCUGUUAACUAUGGCUUUUCAUCAUAUGUGCAGAUAUUGGAAAUACAAAGAGAAGAAUAUCUAUGGCAUAUUAAAGAGGCAGCUGUCAUUAAUGAGGAAAUGAAAAGAUUAGAAGAAGAAGAAGCUGAGCAUAAAAAGAAGAAGGAAGAAUCUAAGCAUGAAAAGAAGAAGAAAAUUGCACAAGACGACGAAGUAUCUAGUGUGCUCAAUCUUCCUAUCAUGUUCAAAUAUCCAACCAUCCAAUAACUCCCCCUGAGACUUUAAUGGAAGCUUCUCCCUCUGAAAGUACAAGUACAUGGGCAGCUAAUGGAACUGGUUGGUGGUAAACCUGAACUACUUGAGGGGGAUGCGAGAAUCCAAGAUGUGCUUGUUAACAGUGGUGUGGGUAAUCCUGAGGUAGAAGUCAAAGUUGUGGGGAAGCAGGAUCUACCCAAAUUGAUGAAUAUGGCUCCCAACGGGAACUCCAAAAUGCUGGUUCAAAAGUUCUACGUUGUUUAUUAUUAACAAUUAUCCAAAGUACUAAUUUAUUGAUGACAGGUUAAGAAUUUCUAGACCUUCAUGAUCAUUUUCUUAUUGCUUGUAAUGACUGGAUGUACUGAUCGGAGAGGAUUCAGUGCACAUACUUGCACUGCACCAACCAGAUCAACCAAACGAUGGUUAGUGACAAAAAAAAAAAUAACAAAUUGCAGUAAAACCCAGGAACUGCAGUAAAGAAAUCGAACUGGCUCUGCCCACCUCCCCGUCCCCAAAACCCAGUCUCUCCAUCCUCCGUCGUCCAAAGAGCCCGCCAAGGUCUGGAUGGUCAACUUCUUCUUCUUCUCCUCCGCCGUAGCCCUCAUCAUCAAGGCCGAGAGCGACCGCACGAAGAUUACGAACAUCAGGAAUGGAUAGGAAACCCAAACCCCAGAUCUACGAUUCUUGAGAAAUCAUUCAAAAUUGCAUCAGUUGCUUCCCAUUGCUUCCAUUGAAGCUCUAAAUCCACUAAUAGAUUCACAUCAGAACCCCAUGGCCGCCACAACUCAUCUUGACAAACGUCGGAUACAGAUUAGGCAUCUCGGGUGUAUCGUAGUAUUGUAUUUAGACCCGUAAAAAAUGGACCGGAUCUUGAUUCGGACCCGCUCCGGAUCCGUGGUUUUUAAAUGGGUUUAGAACGAAAAUUAAACCCGUUGGUCCGUUAAGGACUCGGAUCCGUUAACCCAUUUAUUAAACGGAUCGGAUACGGAUCAAGGUUGAUCCGAUCCGUUAAGGACCCGGAUCCGUUUUAAAAUAAUUAAAUAAUAUUUUUAUAAAUAUAAUAUUAUUGAUAAAUAUUAAACAAUAUAAUAAUUAUUUGAAUAACCUAAACGUCUAAAUUGCGUCUAAAGUAUGAUUAUUUGAUGAAAUUGAAGGUUACUGAUAUGUAUGUUAUUUUUAUGCUCUUUGCUAAAUACAUUGGAGUGUUCUAGAAUAUUCUGUAUCUUUCGAGAUAUUCUUUAUGUGUGUCUUGGCCAUAUGCCAAGAGGAUAUGUAGUUAGACUAGAUCUAUGUAUUUAUAUUCUUACCAUAUUGGUAUUGUGUAAUUCCUUAUAUAAAGGACUCCUAUCAAUGAAUAAGAUGAUGAUUCUCUAGCUAUCUCUCUGUCUCUACACUUUAUACUUCAUCACGUUAUCAUGCACUUUGUUCUAACCCUAGAACUAAUAGCCCACCAUUUUUUUUUCCAAACCCUAAAAACCAAAACCGGAGGUUCUCGGCCCUGCCGCUACCGCCGCCGCAGUCGCUUCCCGGCCGUCCACUCCGCUGCUUUCUUUUCAUCCGAUCAAGCAUCUAAGUGUUUACGGUAUGUUUAUUUUACAACCCUAAAACUCUUCCAAGUUUAAUAACCUCGAGGGAGAUAAAGUGCUUUCUCCCCUUCUUCUACUCCAUUCUAUGCUUGGGUCGAUGUAUUUGAAGGUACCAAAAAUCCCGGAAUUUUAUUCGCGGGUCAAGAGUGUGUUGGAUCACUCUUGUUUCCUUGUCCGGGUUGUGUAUGAUCAACCCUGACCUAUCACUGGAUUGUGUUUGAUCAAUCCGAGGCCUUUUCCGAAUUGUGUUUGAUCAAUUCGCGGCUUUUCCAGAUUGUGUAUGAUCAAUCCGAAUGACAAACCAUUAAAAGCAUUGUUUGUGACCUCUAUCGAGUCUCAUAACAGCUUGGUUUUGUAUGCAAGAGCAAUGUAACAUUCUGCUCCUUUGAGUUUUGACGUACUCGAUGCCUAAGGCGAAUCUUUGCUUGGUAUCUGUGGAACCUUUCAUUGGAAAGGAUUAAACCACAUGUUUUGACCCCCAGGCUAACAAGCCUAGAUGCCGAGAUUUCACAUCUCAUGCGCUUAAAGUCUUUGAUGCGCCACAUCGACAAAAGCCUUCAAUGGCAAUCUGUGCAAAAAGUAAUGACCACAAAGUACUGUGGAAUGCACUCAUGGAGCGUUUCUCGAAACGUUCAUAUAACUCUACUUGUUGAGUUAUUAGUCAAGUGGAUUGCUUACCACCUUAAUUGACUAUAUAUUGUCGAUGAUCUUUUGUGGCAUCAUGAUCCAUAAUCUUUAGCGGAUUCGAUCAUCAUCAAGUUCUCUAAGUCCUCCAAGUUGGUUUGGAAUUACCAACGAAACUUGAUUUUGAUCAUACAAAUGGGAAUUUUAUAUACGCUAAUGUGAUAAACUUAUUUGGGAUUAUCCCCUAAUGUGGGGACAAUAAUAUGGGUCAUGACAACGGCAGAAAACGUCGUGCCGAUGUCUAGAAAAGAGGGGGAGGUGUCGCCGGCUCUAAUAGCGACACUCCCGGUCUAGACACCAUUUUGUCAAAACUACUCACAUCAGCUCAUGACAAUGCAACCGUUGUGGAUCUUUGGAUCACUGGUUCAAGAUUGUCCAGCUUCUUCAAAUUGUGAAUGCAUACAAAAAGGUACAGAAAAUCAAUAUGAGGACAAGAACGUCAUCCUCAUGAUCGCGAAUUUUGAAGAUUCAGAUCCUGCUCUAGCUACCCCUGACUUUGACUUCAUCGGCUAGACAUUGAUUUUCGUUUCAAGCUAUAUGUACUAAGGCGUUGUAUCGACGUCCUUCGUCUAUUUUUGACCUCGAUGUACUCACAUCGGCAAGAUGUACAUUUUUACAUCGUCCUUAGAAGUAUGACAUAUUUACAAUCUACAUGGUUAGAUUGUGCCAUUUUGGUCUCUUCCAAGUGAAGAUGACGCACGGCCUUGCAUCCUCAAGAAGGAUCGCUAACGUGUUUCAGGUUAAGUCUUCUACCCUUUAGCGGAUUUUCCAUCAUCAAUUGUUCAACUAGGCUCAUCCAAGCUCAGUGUGAUGUCUUAGAAUUGUCCGAAAUUAAGGAGAUAGUGGUUUCAAGUGUGCCUCGCACUACCGACCCUCCACGGACAUGCUUGGUCAUACUGACUUGGAGUUACCGAAAGCUUUUGAUUUUGGAUCCCCCUACGCUAUUAAACCAAUUGCCGUCUUGCAAAAGCCGUUGAAGACUUAUCAAAACCGAAAAAUUAUCAUCAUGAUCGAAUCCUCUAGGUCCUUUGAGUUAGUUUAUGUUCAUGUCAGGGAGCUUUUACUAACUAGUCAUGGAGUUUACGACCUUAGAACGACUGAAAGGACUUGAUUUUGAUCAUACACCCGUCACUUUUGGCUAAGGCAAAAGCCUACACGCCACCUGCAAGCUUCACAGCUUCCCACAUGCCAAUUCUGCGAAAAACAGCAAUUUGUCCCUUCUGGACAGUCAACUUCGUUUGAGCUUUGUGAACAGCUCCGGACGAACCAGACAGUGAGCUUUAUAUCAUUGGAAAGCUCUACGAGUCUAGUUUUUAGAACUUUUCGCGGUUUGUCCAUAUCUAUUUUAAUGAAGAAGUUAUGGUUGUUUUAGUGCGCAAAGGUCAUUCUGCGCGAAAAUUUUUAUGCACUCUCGGGAUUGCAGCUUUUCGUAGCUUCUUUCAAUCCUUCUAAAGUACAAGUGGAACUAUUAACUAGCCUAUCUACUCCUUCUUGUAGAUAUGUCUCAUUGAGACAUUGAGUGCUUCGCAGAUAGUGGAACUAUCCAUAACAUUCUAAGGAACCGGCAACUAUCUUUGGAUUUUGUGCCUUUGUAAAUCUUCUGUGACUACAAUGAUUGAAUCAUACCGGUCAUUCAAGGACGCGGUUUAGCUUAAAUCUUGAUGCCUCAUGGCACCAUGAUCAAUGUCACAGAUACCCUCUACGCAUUGAGAGGCAAUCGAACCAUAUUGAGCUUUAAAAACAUUCCUGCUAAUAGUUUUCAUUUGAAAACACAUUGUGAGAAUGAACAAGAAUUCUUUUAUGUAUACCUUCUCAUGAAUGCGGACUAAAGCGCAUCUUAGAGAAAUUCAUGAGUCAAUCUAGUGGAUUGUAUGUCACUACGAUUCGAAUAUCGAAUCCCAUGUUGUCGCCAAACAUGAUAUUUGGGACACCAACUCAUAUAGGCUUUGGUUUGACCAAAUUGGUCAACCUGGAAGAGAUACAAUGGUCCAAAUUUUGAGAAAUUCUCAUGGACAUCCAUUCUUCCGCUCAAAACGAAGACAUUCGAGAUCUAGCAUGGGGGACAUUGACGUCACCCGAACACGACUCCAACUUCUUAGAGGUCGUCCGGUCAAUUCCUCAAGCAAUUGAGGUGCACCGGCCUUCCCUUGAUGUCGCAUUGGCCCCCUGCAAUGCUCAUUGCUUGUUUUGAAAGCCUAUUCUUUAGCUAAAUUAGGAGUGAGACCCUCCUACGCUAAAUAACACAAAAGUGAACAUUCUAUUCUUACAUCAAACUAUGUAGAUAGAUACAACCAACUUGCGGACACAUUUUUAUGCUUUAUGGUUUGGUUGAAAUGUUAACACACUGGUCACGUGUUUCAUUAUUAUCUACUGCUUAUGCUGCUUAUACUUCUACGGGCUCACUAUCCAUUCUUUAAAGAAGUUUAUCGGGAUGUAAAUUGAAGUGUCCUAUACCCCAUGUUCACACGCAAUACGGUCUCACCGAGGCUACGACCAAGCAAUUUUAGCUUGUCGCUCGAAUAUUAUUGAUGCGCACCAAUCUUUCUAUUGCGUCUUGGGGCUAUGCAAUAUUUGCAUGCAGCUUUACUAUUCAUCUACGACCCACCAUCAUUGAAUAUUGUUGUACUACAGCUCGUGACUGUGUACUAGGAUUGACACGAAAUUGCAAUCCUUGAGCUCGACAGGAUUGAAACGGAUCUCCAAUCCUUGAGCUUAGCUAGAUGUUUAUUCUAGGUGCCAAAUUGCACUGCCACUGCGCACAAUGAUGGGUCAUUUGAGAUGAAUAAAUAUUUAGGUUGGAUGUGAAUCUCCACCUAUAAUCCGCAUAUGUAGAAACCUUGCCAAGCAAUAUCUUUCACCGCUAUAUUGCGGAUGGUCACUUUGAUGAGACAAUAUUCCCGCCGUUAGGGGGAGAUAAGAACACAAGUGUUCAAGUGGAACGACGUGAAUUGUCGUGGUUUGUCCCCACUAAGUCUCAUCUUGAUCCCAAACGCUUAAAAUGUUAAAGUGACGAGAUCACAUGCUGCAAAUAUGUUUGCAAGGAUUGAUGUCCCAUCAAGAGGACAUGGCGUGACCAAAAUGUGUUGGUCUUGACGCCAUCACCAUGGAUGGUGAUAUAGUGACGCCUUAUAGUGGCAAAAUUGGUGUCACAAGGCCGUGUGGCUCCCCAAAAGGAGGGAGACCCUUAGGUUCGAUACUUUCUCGCACUAGGAAGAAAACAAGCUUGGCACAACCUGAUCCAUUGAUCAGUGAUACUCAAACCGUCUCAUGAAGUCUGAAUUGUGAUUAUCGUUAGGGGACGCCUCAAUGUCAAAUCCAAUCCAUAUAGAGAUCUCUACAAGUAUUACACUAGUGUACAUGAGGACGUGGGAUAAUGAGUCUACUAUCGAACCACCUUUCGUAGAUGGAUAUUAACUUAGUUGAUUGGCCUAACGGAAAGAUGCGAUCUAGCAUUAACAAAGGGAUAGGUCCUUGGGUAGGUGAUGCCGACACCGCAAGCUAAACCUUAUCAACUAUACAUUUGUUAGAUAGCGUAGGGAGAACAAGAGUUUAGACUCACCUUAUGGCGUAAGGUCUCUCACUAUCACGCACUGGGAUCGACUACGAUGAGAUAUGCUCUCGUAAUGGAUGUCAUUGAACUCCACUACUUUGUCAGUUUGGUAGUUUCCGAAUAACUGAACAUGCAGCCUAUGAAUGUGGUCAUAAUAACAUCUCUAUGGGAUCAGAGAUAUAUAUGAAGCUCUUAAACGGACUUCAUUCAUCCGAAUCAAGUGGCUCCAAACCACAUGAGCAUGCGUUUGCUAAAUGUAUUGAAACGCACAUGGACUCUACUUGAUUUGGAAGGGAUAUGGUGAAUUAUGCCUUUGCGUGUUCAUUCCGGAUUUACAUGGAUUCUUGAUGGAUCAAGAGAUGCCAAUAUGUAUCAACAUCCGAAGAAAAAGAUCUUGGGAAGACACGGUCUCGAUAAGGGACUCGAUGACUGUAUUGAUAAUGAUUUUCCAUCAAUCGGCUUAGGCGCUCUAUAACUAGUGAGGCCUACAUAUACUCCCAUGAUUAGUUAAGGUCUUUGCUCUAAAGAGAGAUCCGUUGUUUUGUCUAAAGCAAGAUGACAAAUAUGUGUUAAGAGAUGGAGUUCCCAUGUAAGUACAAUAAUACGCAUCAAUGUACUCAACACAAUACAAAAGACUUGACAUCUCAUUUGCUACGAAAAGUUGUAAAGCUAAGUGUAGUUAUGCGCCCACGCAAUGUUAAUGUAAUGGCAGUAACUUCUUUUUUAAUACUUAAUGGUAUGAAAGGUUGAGGCUUAUUCUAUCCCUACAUAAGAAAGACACAUCAAUAGCGAAAUCAGAAUCUGCCAAGUUUCGUAGGUCAAGCUCCACGAGACCUACAGGAAACCUCACUCACUGGAAAAUGGUGAACUUGGUACUAUUGGAAAGAUCUAUGUGUCUACUUUCCAGGACAACAACCAUUUGAUCAUACCUAUCAUAUUGAGUGAGUUAUGGCCGUUUUCGUAUAGUAGGAUGAAUCUGUCCGAGAAUCUAAUUUUUGCAAAACAGUCAACUUCGACGGGACUUUGUGAAUAGAUCCUGACGAACCAGAACGUAUGUAAUAUACGGUUGGAAAGCUAAAUAAGUCUAGUUUCCAAAACCGUUUACGGUUCGUUCAUAUGUAUUUC